AGGAACUUAACAUAUAUCCUUUCAAGAAAUAGUUCUCCUAAGUCGAUAGAACUGGCCAACAAAAUAUUCCAAGCACACCCAAGUUUAUUUGCUGAAAAUUUACGAAUAACAUGACAAUAAUACCUCAUAAAAUUCACAGCCUAGCUAGUAUUAAAAAGGAGGUAAAAUAAUUAACCAGUAAAGUAAAUAAAAUAACGUAGGCUGAUCAUUAAAACACAAAGUAAUCGAAAGAGAAAAAUCUGAAGGGGGAAAAUAACAUACAAGGAUAUUACACACCAAUGAGGAAAAAGAAAAGCCAAAAAAAGAUUAAAAUGACAUCAAACGGAACAGGUUCAAAUCAGUUGCAACUGAGAGACUCGAAUCAAAUUCUUUUCCUGAUAACAAAGUAAGAAAUGAUGAGAGCAAGAAAUCCUAACAGCAAUGCUGGAGAAGAAUUGGUGGAGCCAAUAUUUUUUGAGGGAGAAGAAUCAGCAUAGUUGCCGCCUCCUCCAUAUUGUGCAUUAGCAACAGCCAAAACCAUAGCCAAAAAAGCAACUACAAUUGCAACUGAACCCCUAAAACCCAUGCUUAAGCUCUCCUUAGGUUACAACCUUAAGUACUUACACAAAAGUUGUUGAUUAAUUUCCUUUUGAAAGUUCUACUCAGAUUCCAACAAAGCUCCAUGCUUAUAUAGGAAUAAUGUAGAGAAAUGAUCCAUUGAUUUUUCCCUAGUAGGUGCCAAUAUAUAAUAUAAAAUACAAAUUGGUUAAACUAUUGUUUUCGGCUUGAUUUUUAUAUUUUAUAUAUUGUAACAACCUUGAUCAUGACAACUCUUAUACUUGAACCAAUUUUGAUUGCUUAUGCUAUGUGUUACUUAAAUUAAUAAAUGCAUAUGUAUAAAAGACCUAACGUGGUUGGGACGUGGGAUAUAUAUGAUAUGCCUGCCCAACUAAUAUGCCUAAGAACGUGGAUUUAAAUAAGCAUCUCCAAAAGUAUAAAUGUGUAUUAUUACAGAAUAUUAAUAGGUGAUGAUUGUUCAAAUUUCAAAAGAUUUUAUUUGGCUUAAUUCUCUAUGAUAUCGCGGUAACCACAUAUUCAACAUUCAGAUCGAUCAGAUCAAACUCUUUCCUUCAUAUUUCCGGACUUCCAAAAACCACAUAACUAAAAUGAUCCCAAGAUCAUUGUUGCAGCCUAAUAGUUGAAACGUCGGCCUUGAAACGUCGCUCUACAUCACUUUGUACAGUUUUUUUUUUUAAUAUAUAUGGAGAGGAGGUUAUAAGGCAGAGAAUCGUACCAGCAUCAACAAAGUAAAAGUGAGGUAGCUAGUCAACGGAAUUACUAAGAUUACCCUUGUAUAAGGUUCGAAUACCACCGCAUUAGAGAUUCUCCAAUCUUUUAAUUAGCUUCCUACCCCCUGCUAUUAACAAAUCUGCAUUCAUACGGUAGUGGUUAAACAUGUGUUAAUGUUUAAUGGUCGCUGAACUUAUGAUAUCCAAUGACCAAUCUACGUCGUCCAAAAUGAUGCAGUUAGCGCAGUAGGAUAUUUGUUCUUAACGUAUUUCUUAUUAGCACUAGUUGUUUGAACUUAAGUUCUCUAAUCGAGUAAAGUCCUGGUGCAAUUAAUUAUUAAAUAUAGUUAGGUGUAGAGAGACCUGAAGUCUAAAGGUUUCAAGAUGAGCCGACCAAAACAGAAUACUUGGAGCGUAAGUUUAGUGGUGCUACUCAGAGAGUGGAAGGGGAGGUGAGGCUCUAGAUUCAGGGCGUAUCUAGGGGGGGUUCCAUGGGGCACGUGAACCCAUGCUCCCCUCCCUAAAUUAUGUAUAGUAAUGUUAUAUUUUUUUAAAUAUAUGUAUGUGCACCCAUGCUCAAAGUAUUAUAUAAUGUGAUAGUUAUUUGGUGUAUCUCUCUAGGUGAGGUUGUGAGUUCAAAUCUUAUGUCAAUCUUGUUAUUUUUUUCUCUCUUUUUUUUCUAGAACUAGACUCCCAUGGGAGAUUAUGGGCGUGUUUGGUGUUAUUUUUUGCGUAUUAAUUAAGUACUUUUUCUUUUUAAUUCUUUUUUGUUUGGUUUAGUCUUCAAAAUUUUCACACAUUGAAAUUCCUACUCUUCUUUUGUCGCUGUAAAAUGUCAUAUGAUUAAAUAAAAUAUGUAUAUUAAAACCAGUAGUAGUGUAUGAUGUAGCAUAUAGUCAAUGGGUUCAACUGGUCCCAAUAUUUUCAACAUGGGAAAUAGAUAUAGAUGUAAGAAAAUUACUAUUUAAAAUAAUUUUGAACUUAUAAUUCCAAAAGUGUAAUGAGUGCGCAAUCGUAAGAACUAAAGGUUGAACCCAUAAAAUUUAUAUUUUGGAUCCACAUCUUCUUAAUAGUGCACCCAUUUUGUCAAAAUCCUGGAUACGCCUCUGCCUAGGAGAGGAAGUUUUAAGUACCUUGGGUCUAUUAUACAGGGGGGUGGGGAGAUUGACGAAGAUAUCACACAUCGUAUUGGGGCAGGAAUAUGGAUGAAAUGGAGACUUGCUUCUAGUGUUUUGUGUGAUAAUAAGGUACCACCAAAACUUAAAGGUAUAUUUUAUAGAGCGGUGAUCAGACCGGCUAUAUUUUAUGAGGCUGAGUGUUGGCCAGUCAAGAGCUCCCACGUCCAGAAAAUGAAGGUAGCAGAGAUGAGUAUGUUAAGAUGGAUGUACGGGCACACCAGAUUAGAUAGGAUUAGGAAUGAAGUUAUUCGGGACAAGAUGGGUGUGACCCCUAUUGAGGAUAAGAUGCGGGAAGCACGACGUAGAUGAUUUGAACAUGUGAGGAGGAGAAGAACAGACGCCCUGGUAAGGAGGUGUGAGAGGUUGACAUUGGAGGGCCUUAGGAGAGGUAGAGGUAGGCCGAAGAAGAGUGGGGGUGAGAUGAUUAGGCAUGACAUGGCGCAACUAUAGUUGACCGAGGACAUGACCCUUGAUAGGAAGGUGUGAAGGUCGAGAAUUAAGAUAGUAGGUUAGGUAGUCUAGAUUAUUCAUAUCGGUAGUAUUAGUAAGUACUCUCGCAUUUGGUUGGUACUAGGUUUCUUUGAAUACCUGUCAUUUUUUGCAUUACGAUCAUCUUACUAUCUUGUUAUGUAUGCUGUUUUUACAUGGUUUUUCGGUAUUGUCCCGUCUUAUUUUCUUGUUAUUAUUGUGGUACAUAUGCUUUCAUGAGCUGAGGGUCUAUUGGAAACAGUCUUUUUACUCCACAAGAUUAGGGUAAGGUCUACAUACGCACUACCCUCCCCAAACUCUAUUAUGUGAAAUUAUACGGGGUAUAUUAUUGUUGUUGUUGUUAGGUGAUAAAUGAGCAUCAUGAUAUCCUUAGUUUAGCGUGAAUAUUGAAUGUGAUUAAGUUUUUAAUGUUUAGUAUGUGAACCAAACGGUCCCUAAGAAAAUAUGCGUUGAAAAUUAUCUUAUCGAGUCUACUAAAGUUUUGACCCAAUAUGCCUCCAAUCUGGGACGCUUUGGUCCAUCCUAGGCGGCAAAAAUGGUUAAAACAAAAUAGUUAUCUACCCAUAUUAUCUAUAUAUCUAUAUCUAUCUAUCUAUAUUAUUAUAAAAGUACGAAUGUUUUACACUAAAUGUUGAAUGACAAAAAUAUUCUUAAAAUAUUGAUCGACUAGUAUACCCUUAUAUCUUGUCUAAAAGAUAGUUCUAUAUUGGAUAAAAUAGUAAUAUCUAAUACGAAUUUGCCUAAUAUUUGGGAAUCUAAUACCAACUAGUGAUAUAACUUUUUAAAAUUAUAAUCGAAUGUAAAGUUCUAAUAUUAUACUAAUUGUACCUGGACAAUUACAUGGAACAAUAAUAGAAUCCCAUAUGCUUUGAGUUUCAAACCCAUAACAAUAUCCCACGCAUGAAACACAUAUUGCAUCUAUAUAAAUAAUUUCAUUGUAUUCACGCUAUUACAAUAUAAAACAUCUAUACGCAGAUCUUUUAGAGGUAAUUUUCGUCUCUUUCAGUAUCGUAUUUUAUAGAUUAAAUUUUGGCUCUCUAACAUAAACAAAAGAAAGCUACUCACAAUUACGAAGUUGAAUGUUUAAUUUUGUGCAUGUUGGCUGAUAAUUCAUCCACAUCUUUAUGGGUUGUUAAGAAAAAUUUUUGUUUGUUUGUUGGAAGGGAUAUUGAUGUAAAGAUUAAAUUAAGUUACACUCGAAAUAGUGGGAAUGCGGUCUCUACAUCCCAUCCAAAGGAACUAUAUUUUUAUAGGAGGAUACUUAAAGAGGAAGAUGAGAAUAUAUUAAUUAACAGAGAAGGUUUAAUUUGCGGUAUCAACCGAUGAGAAUGGAUGAGGAAGUUAGAAGGAAUACUGAAUGGUAUGUUUUUAAACAACAAACCAAUCCAUGUUUAUCGUACUUUAAAUAAUUUUGUUGUCUUAGAUGAGAGUCAUAUAAUUUAGAUUUCUUCUUUACGUAAAUAUUCAAAUGUAUGCUUAACUCCGGCCUUCAUCUACAUCUCCUACACAAAAAUUCAGGUAAAAUAAUUAUACCAACAAUCUACUUGAUUAUUCUUUUAUUAAAUAACCAAAUAUUAAUAUUUUGAUUUGGACAAUGUCAAUCAAAUCAUGUUUUAUUGAUUAUUUCAGAACGUUCUCAAUAGACGGUAAGUACAGACAUACCUACAAAGAAUUCACAUAGUACUAUGUUUGGAAUCCUUAACCGACAAUAUGAAAUAGAAAAAAGAUUUGUAUUCGGUCUAAUCGCUACAUAUCACAUUUUUCCUACAUCAUUUGUAUGAAAAACAAGUCUUUCUUUUUGUAAUAUGUUUCAAAAAUUAAUUUGAAUUCUUUCAUAAAUUAUUGACUUAAGAAUCUCGUGCAAUGCACGAACGUAGAAACUAGUUAUUAUAAAAGCAUGAAUAAUUUAUGCUAAAUGUUGAACGACUAAAAUAUCUCUAAAACAUUGAUCGACUUUUAUGCCCUUAAAUAUUGGUAUAGUUUAAGGAUCUAAUUGUAAUUAAAUUACUCAAUGAUGGUAUUCUUUUUCGAUUUAAACUACACAUGCAUCAACCCUAUAAAGUUGAUCCUACUUGAAUUAGAAAAGCACAUUAAUAAUUUUCUUUUAAAAAUUAAAAUGUCUUACGUAUUUUACUACAACAUAUGUUGUAGAUUGAAUUUUUACUUAUGAGCAAAUUUUAAAUGAUUUACCGAUUUAUAAAGCUUAAAAGCAAAACUAUGACACUUAUUAAUGGUACUUAUUUUUCCCUAUAUCUUCCCCAAUUGGGAACGUAUAUAUUUAUAUCUACAACUAUCUAUUUCUAUUUAUAUAUCUAUCUUAUUAUAAAAGUACGGUUAGAAAGCUAUAUGUUGAUGAACUAAAAUAUUCUUAGAAAAUUGAUCACCUUUUUGCCCUUCAAAACAUAUAUUUGUACAAAAAAAUAAAUCCAUGUUGGUUGAUAAAAGUGUCGUAUUUGAGACUAUCUAAUAUAUUGGAUACCGAAGUCAAUUAAUAAUAUAUGUUUAGAAUUUUUAAUGGAUGAAUCCUUCUCUUAUUUGAACAAGAACUAGAGUCUGAUUUCAAUUGAGUUUUGAAGCUUCAAGUGUAUACUAAUUACACAUGGAUAAGAACGCUUUAAAUCGUCUGUUCCUUAAUCUAGAUAUAAAACGUUUCAUUAGCAUGCUGCAUAAUGCAUAUUUCAAACGUUUCGUGGAGCAUGUUAAAAUUCCUUUUGUCUAAAAAAUAACUUUUUAAUGUUAAGAUUUGAUAUGCAGAUGCAAAUUGCAUAUAACAUGCAGUUUUUAUCUCUCUAAGCUUUUGGCUUUUGUUUAAUUUUCUCCUUGUAGCUGCUGCUCGAAUUUAAAGUUCUUAAUUUAUCUUUUGGUUGUAGAUGAUCCUAUUGAAAAUUUUUCUAUCUUUACUUGAAGACCAUUGAUCUAAGGUAAUUUUAAAAUUUCUCUCCUUGUCUCCCAAGUUAUAGUAAGUAUGAAUAGAUUUCGAUUUACAGGGUUAUAUUGAGUAAUUUCAGAAUUUGACUAAUGGUACUUAUAAUAUACUUAAUUAGUGAUGCCAAGCUAACAGUGGAAACUAUGUUGAUGUUUUAUUAUAGGAAUAGCGUCAAAUCUCCUUUUUACUGUAUUAGUGGAUAAGGAAGGAACUAUAAUUAAACGGUUUGAGACAUCUUUUCAGUUUCAAAUUAAUGAUUUUUUUUUUCAGUUUCAGAUGAUGUUUUUUCAAGUUCAGAUGAUGUUUUUUCAGGUUCAGAGAUGACGUCCAAUUAUUCUUUUCAAGUAUUAUGAUAAUAUAAAAAUAUUAACUUUUCGCAUUUAAAUAAUUCUUUUUCGUGUAUAUAAAUAAUUGACUAAACAUCUACAUAUUAUUAUUUACAUGCAAUGCACGUUCGUAAAAACUAGUACUAUAUUAAAAGCGCGAAUGCACUUAGCGAAUUGUCGUUCGCCUUUUUUACCCUCUAAAUCUUGAUUUUAUAUUGGAUAAAAUCGUUAUUUUAAUUUUUUUCCUAAUAUUUAGGAGUUUCAAAUCAACUAAAAUUUGUACAUUAAAUUCUUACUUAUUAAACUUGUCAUUUAAUCAAUUUUUUAAUACUUAGGACACUAUAAAUAACUGUCACGACCUAAAAUCAUACCUGUCGUGAUGACGCCUAUCUUUUCUAGACAAGCCGACAACUUCAAUAAACCACAAUUUCUUUUAAAUGCAGAAAAUAUAAUAAUUAAAUUUAAGAGAAAACUCCACACAUACUGAUAUAAAUACACUCCCAAAAUCUGGUGUUACUGAGUACAUGAGCAUCUAUGCAUUACAAGUCUGGGAAACCCGGUCUAUAAUAAUACGAGACCAAAUACAAUAAACAAAAGGAUAGGGAAGGAGAGACAAGGUCUGCGAAACAUAGCAGCUACCUCUGAAUCUCCGAAAAUCAACUGUGUGAAAGAAUCAACACCCACUGUAUCCGAGGUCACCUGGAUCUUCACACAAAGUGCAGGGUGUAGUAUUGUAAUGACCCGACUGGUCGUUUUGAGUGUACUAGCCCCGAUCCCCUAUUUAUUAUUUUUCCCGUAUCUGUUUCUGCUUAUUUGACUUGCCGGGAGGUCUUGUUUUUGGUUUCAAAGUGUUUUGGGACACUUAAUCCCUGAAACAGAAGCUUAAAUUUUAGGAUUUUGAUCGUAGUCAGAAGUGUGUGAAGACGACUCCGGAAUGGAGUUACGCCAGUUCCGUUAGCUCCGUUGAGUAAUUUUGGAUUUAGGAGCGUGUCCGGGCUAUGAAUUUGAGGUAUAUAGCUAAUAUUGAGAAGUUUGUCCGGGGGGUUGACUUUUUGAUAUCGGGGUUGGAUUCCGAUUCCGGAAGCUGAAAUAGGUUCGUAAUGUUGAAUAUGACUUGUGUGCAAAAUUUGAGAUCAAUCGGACGUAGUUUGGUAGGUUUCGGCGUCGUUUGUGUAAUUUGAAAGUUUAGAAGUUCUUUAGGCUUGAAUCCGGGUGUAAUUGGUGUUUUGAUGUUGUUUUGAGUGAUUCGAAGACUCAACUAAGUUCGUAUGGUAUUUUAGGAUUGGUUGGUAUGUUUGGUUGAGGUUCCGGGGACCUCGAGUGAGUUUUGGAUGCUUAACGGAUUAUUUUUGGCCUUGGUGAGAUAGCUAAUAUCUGUUGCUGCAUUUUCUGGUUUCUUCCUACGCGUUUGCGAAGAGUGUUUCUGAGUUGGUGAGAUUUUGCUCUACGCGUCCGCGAAGGAGAGGACGCGAACGCGAAGGUAUGGCAGUGUGUGCAUAGCAAACGUGUUGGUGGAGUCGCGUUCGCGAAGGGGAGUGAGGCAGCUGGGGACCCCCAGUAUUUUGUUCUACGCGUUCGCGAGGUGAAGGACGCAUUCGCGAAGGUCUGAGUUUGCAAAGCUUCGCGUUCGCGAAGAAGAAAAUCUGGGCAGGCAAUAUUAAUUUCAAAAAUGAGGGUUUGAACCCAUUUUGCAUAUUUUGAGCUAGAGAACCCGGAAUUGGGCGAUUCUUGAAGGGAUUUUUGUGGAGAUGACUGGGGUAAGUGAUUCCUACUUGGUUUUGGUUAAAACCCAUGAUUAUAUCCUUAAUUUUAUCAUCUAAUUUGUGAUUUGGGAUGAAAAAUUGGGGAAAAAGAGGAAGAACUCUUGAAUUGGGAUUUUGAGGUUUUGAAUGGGAUUUUGUUAUUAGAUUUGAGUAAAUUUGGUAUGGUUAGACUCGUGAGUGAAUGGACUUUCGGGUUUUAUAACUUUUGUAGGAUUUCGAGACGUGGGCCCGAGGGCCGGAUUCGGGCCAAUUUCGGAUUUUUGUCUAUAAUAUAGUACUUUUCUUGUGGAAUUGAUCUCUUUAGCCUAUAUUGAUUGUAUUGUUCUACUUGUGGCUAGAUUCGGGACGUUUGGAGACCGAUUUGAGAGGCAAAGACAUUUCGGAGUAGAGAUUUGCUCGGUUUGAGGUAAGUAACAGUCUUAAAUCUGAUUUUGAGGGUAUAAAACCCCGAGAAUUGGUAUGAUGUAAGCAUUUGGAGGUGACACACAUGCUAGGUGACGGGCGUGUGAGCGUGCACCGUGAGGGAUUGUGACUUGGUCCGUCCCGUAAGACUGUAAAGUCAAAUAGCCAUUGUUAUUACUUGUUUUUCCUUGUCUUUGAGUAAUUGACUGCCUUUCAUGUUAGAAACCAUGCUUAGGCCAUAUGAUAUCACUGUUGGGACCCGCAGCAGUCAUAUACUUGUUGAAUUAACUACCAAUUAUUGUCUUGUACUCAGUCACAGUCUUACUUGUGUGUUAUAUCUGUGUUCCCUCUCAUUUCUUGUUGAUACUAUGUUAUCUUUGUUUGGGCCGAUCUUUAUGAUUUUUGAGAGCCCAAGAGACUAGAGAGGUUGAUGACUGAGUGAGGCCGAGGGCCUGUCUGUGAGAUAUUGAUACUAUGGCACGUGAGUUGUCCGUGUAGCACGUGAGUUGUCCGUGCGGUUCCACAUAUUGAUACUAUAGCACGUGAGUUAUUCGUGCAACACGUGAGUUGUUCGUGCGGAUAUAGCGUUUGGGCUGAAAGGAGCCCCUCCGGAGUCUGCACACCCCCAGUGAGCGCAGGUACUUAUUGAGUGUGAGUACUGAGGGCUCAGAGCUGAGUGAUUGAGUUGUUAUGACGAGUUGAAUGUCUGUUGCCCUGAGAGGCUGUACUUGUUUUCCAUUUGUUGAUGCACUUAGUUGCUAUCUGUCAUUGUUGUGAAAUUUUUGAAAGAUUCUAUAUCCAGAUUACUUGCACUGUAAUUGUAUAAACUGAUUUGACUUGAACUACCGGAUUUGAAAGUAUGUCUAUUCUUUGCUAGAAUUAUUAAAAAUGAACUGUAUUUGUAUAGCUCGUCACUACCUUCUCAGUUCUUUAUUUAUUUCUAUUACUUGCUGAGUUGGUUGUACUCAUGCUACACCUUGAACUUCAUGUGCAGAUCUAGGUGUGUUUGAUCACGGAGGUCGUUGAGUUCGUGCGCGAUCUUGUACCGGAGACUACGAGGUAGUUGUUGGCAUCCGCAGACCUUGUCUCUCCUUUUAUGUUUUCUUUCUUUUCAGUAUUGAUACUCAGACAAAAUUUGUAUUAGACUGGAUAUCUAGAUGCUCAUGAUUCAGUGACACCCCGAUGUCGGGUUACUUUCCACACUUAUGUUUUGGGUUUUACCCCAUUUUUAUGGGGGGAAAAAACUUCGAUUAUUUUAAAUGUCUUAAUUCAUUUCUGUUAAAUUUUGAAAGUGUUUUGGAAAUGUCGGCUUGCCUAGUAUCACGAUAGGCGCCAUCACGACGGGUUAGAUUUUGGGUCGUGACAAGUUGGUAUCAAAGCCUAGGUUACAUAGGUAUCACGAGUCAUGAGCAGGUUUAGUAAAGUCUUGCGGAUAGGUGUGGAGACGUCUGUACUUAUCUUCGAGAGGCUGCAUAACCCUUAGGAAACUCCACAUUCUUGAAUUCUUGUCGUGCAAAUCUAUUUAUUCUAGUAACUAAACAUAUGUUGUUUCAUUCUCUCAUAGAUGGUGAGGACUCGUGCUACCGGAUAUGAUGGACAGCCACCAAUACCACCAGCCAGGGCCGCGAGAGGCCGAGGUCACGGUAGAGGCCGCGGUAGGGGCAGAGGUGCAGCCCGCACAGUAGCUGGGGCAGUACCUGCAGAUCCACCAAUUGCCCCAGAUCAGGACUAGAUUCCAGUUGUUGCACCAUCUCAGGCACCACAUGUGCCUAUUGUAAUUCCAGGCCUUCAGGAGGCCUUAGCUUAGAUUCUGACCGCGUGUACCAGUAUUGCUCAGGCGGUCUCUGUUCCGGCCGCAGCAGCCGCUUCUCAGGCUGGGGGAGGUGCUCACACUCCCGCCGCCCGCACACCAGAGUAGGUGGUACAGGGAUUUCAGACACCUGGGGCACCACCAGCCCAGCCGGUUGCAACUGCUCAGGGCUAUGUGGUACCUGUCAUUCCUGAUGAUGAGCAGCAUCGAUUGGAGAGGUUUGGGAGACUCCAGCCUCCAUCUUUCAGUGGUACCGAGGGAGAGGAUGCGCAGGGCUUCUUGGACAGGUGUCAGAGGAUACUCCAUACAACAGGUAUUCUGGAGACCAGUGGGGUCUCGUUCACUACCUUUUAGUUCUCUAGGGAUGCCUUCAGUUGGUGGGAGGCUUACGAGAGGCGUAGUCCGGUCUAUGCAGCACCCCUUACAUGGUAGCAGUUCUCCGAUCUAUUCCUGGAGAAGUUCGUGCCUUAGUCCCAUAGAGAGGAGCUGCACAGGCAGUUUGAGCAGCUUCGUUAGGGUGAUAUGUAUGUGAGACAGUAUGAGAUGCGAUUCUCAGAGUUGGCCCGUCAUGCUAUCUGGUUGGUUCCCAUAGACAGGGAGAGGAUCAGGAGGUUCAUAGAUGGCCUCUUUUUCAGCUGCGAUUGCUUAUGACUAGAGAGAGAGUGUCUGGUGCUACUUUCGACGAGGUGGUUGACAUUACUCGUCAGAUUGAGAUGGUUCGCAUCCAGGAGCGGGUUGAGAGGGAGUAUAAGAGGCCUCGUGGUCAGGGUGGAUUUAGCGGUGUUCCUUCUGGGGGCAGUUCCACCACGGUAGGGGUCGUCCUUUCAGACAUGCUCAGACGGCUCGCCCAGUCCACCGUGGUGCAUCAUCUGGCCACGGGCCACACAGUCAUCAGUAGGGCUAGUCGUCAUUCAGUACACUACCGGCGCAAAGUUCUCACCGGGCCUCGUCAGCUCAGGUUUCCACGGGUAGUUCCUUUGGGCACCAGGAGCAGCAGUUCCAUCAGAGGAGGGGUUGUUUCGAGUGCGGAGAUUUUGGUCACAUCAAGAGAGAUUGCCCUAGGUUGUUGAGUGGGGCUCCACAGCAGAGUACUUGAUCGAUGGCACCAGCACCAGCAGCUCCACCACCCGUCCAGCCAGCUCGAGGUGGGGCUCAGUCAGCUAGGGGUCGCCCGAGAGGGGGAGGCAGAUCAGGGGGUGGCUAGGCCCGUUUCUAUACCCUCCUUGCCAGACCAGAUGCCAUUUCUUCAGAUGCUGUGAUUACACGUAUUGUCUCAGUUUGCCAUAGAGAUGCCUUCGUAUUAUUUGACCCUGGUUCCACUUAUUCAUAUGUGUCCUCGUAUUUUGCUCAUUAUCUGGAUAUGCCCCGUGAGCCUCUAGUUUUAUCUGUUCAUGUGUCCACUCCAAUGGGCGAUACUAUUAUUGUAGACCGUGUAUAUCGGUCAUGUGUGGUGACUAUUGGGAGUCUGGAGACUAGAGUGGAUCUCGUGUUGCUUAGUAUGGUUGAUUUUAACGUGAUAUUGGGUAUGGAUUGGUUGUCUCCAUGUCAUGCUAUUCUAGAUUGUCAUGCUAAGACCGUGACAUUGGCGAUGUUGGGGUAGGGUUGAGUGGAGCGGUUCUAUAGACUAUGUUCCCAGUAGAGUGAUUUCAUACUUGAAGGCUCAGCGGAUGGUUGAGAAGGGUUGUUUAUCCUAUUUGGCUUUUGUAAGGGAUGUUAGUGCAGAGACUCCUUCCAUUGAUUCUGUUCCGGUGGUGCGUGAUUUUUCGGAUGUGUUUCCUGCAAACCUGUCGGGCAUGCCGCCCGAUAGGGAUAUUGACUUUGGUAUCGAUUUGGUGCCGGGCACUCAGCCCAUUUCUAUUCCACAGUAUCGUAUGGCACCGGCGGAGUUGAAAGAGUUGAAGGAACAACUUCAGGAACUCCUUGAUAAGGGGUUUAUUCGGCCUAGCGUGUCACCUUAGGGUGCACUAGUUCUAUUUAUAAAGAAGAAGGAUGGUAGUAUGAGAAUGUGUAUUGAUUACAGACAGUUGAACAAGGUCACAAUCAAGAACAAGUAUCCAUUGUCGCGUAUUGAUGAUUUUUUUAACCAACUUUAGCGAGCGAGGGUAUUCUUCAAGAUUGAUUUGAGGUCAGGGUAUCACUAGCUGAAGAUUCGGGACUCAAAUAUUCUUAAGACAGCUUUCAAGACCCGAUAUGGCCAUUAUGAGUUCCUUGUAAUGUCUUUUGGGCUGACCAAUGCCCCAGCACCGUUCAUGCAUCUGAUGAACAGUGUGUUUCAGCCUUAUCUUGAUUCGUUCGUUAUUAUAUUCAUUGAUGACAUCCUGGUGUACUCUCGUAGUCAAGAGGAGCAUGCUCAGCAUCUGAGGAUUGUGUUACAGUGAUUGAGGGAGGAGAAAUUUUAUGCAAAGUUCUCCAAGUGUGAGUUUUGGCUCAGUUCAGUGGUGUUCUUGGGACACGUGGUGUCCAGUGAGGGUAUUCAGGUAGACCUGAAGAAGAUAGAGAAGGUGCAGAGUUAGCCCAGACCGUCCUUAGCCACGGAGAUUCGGAGCUAGGUGUAGAGUUGGCCCAGACCGUCCUCAGCCAUGGAGAUUCGGAGCUUUCUUGGGUUGGCAGGCUAUUAUCGUCGUUUUGUGGAGGGUUUCUCAUCUGUUGCAUCGCCCUUGACUAAAUUGACCCAGAAGAGUGCUCCUUUCAGGUGGUCGGAUGAGUGCGAGGAGAGCUUUCAGAAGCUCAAGACUUCUUUGACCACGGCUCCAGUUCUAGUUCUGCCAUUAGCUUCUGGUUCCUACACAGUGUAUUGUGAUGCCUCACGGAUCAGUAUUGGGUGUGUUCUGAUGCAGGAGGGUAGAGUGAUUGCUUAUGCAUUGCGCCAGUUGAAGCCUCAUGAGAAGAACUAUCAUGUCCACGACCUUGAGUUAGCAGCAAUUGUUCACGCUUUGAAGAUUUGGCGGCACUAUUUAUACGGGGUUCAUUGUGAGAUUUACACUGAUCAUCGGAGUUUACAACAUCUGUUCAAGUAGAAGGAUCUUAACUUGCGUCAGCGAAGGUGGUUGGAGCUUCUUAAGGACUAUGAUAUCACCAUUUUGUACCAUCCUGGGAAGGCCAAUGUGGUGGCCGAUGCCUUGAGUCGCCGAGCGGAGAGUUUGGGGAGCUUAUCAUAUCUUCCAGCAGCAGAGAGGCCAUUGGCAUUGGAUGUUCAGGCCUUAGCUAGUCAUUUUGUUAGAUUGGAUGUUUCUGAGCCGAGUCGAGUAUUGGCUUGUGUGGUCUCUCGGUCUUCUCUUUAUGAUCGUAUCAGGGAGUGUCAGUAUAAGGACCCUCAUCUGCUUGUCCUUAAGGACACGGUCCAGCACGGUGAUGCUAAGGAGGUCACUAUUAGGGAUGAUGGUGUAUUGAGGAUGCAGGGCAGGCUAUGUGUGCCCAAUGUAGAUGGUUUGCGUGAGUUGAUUCUCCAGAAGGCUCACAGUUCGCGGUAUUCUAUUCAUUCGGGUGCCAUGAAGAUGUAUCAGGACUUGAGACAUCAUUACAGGUGGAGGAGGAUGAAGAAGGACAUAGCGGAGUAUGUAGCUCGGUGCCUAAAUUACCAGCAAGUGAAGUAUGAGCAUCAGCGACCAGGUGGGUUGCUUCAAAAGUUAGAGAUUCCGGAGUGGAAAUGGGAGCGGAUCACUAUGGAUUUCGUUGUUGGGCUUCCACGGACUCAGCGGAAGUUUGAUGUAGUUUGGGUGAUUGUGGAUCGGCUAACCAAGUUAGCCCAUUUCAUUCCUGUGAUGACUACCUAUUCUUCCGAGCAGCUGGCUCGAGUGUAUAUCUGCGAGAUCGUCAGGCUUCAUGGCAUACCAGUAUCUAUCAUCUCUGACCGGGGUAUGCAGUUUACAUCACGGUUCUGGAGGGUCGUGCAGCAUGAGUUGGGUACGUGAGUGUAGUUGAGCACAGCAUUUCACCCUCAGAUUGACGGACAGUCCAAACGCACUAUUCAGAUAUUAAAGGAUAUGCUAUGUGCGUACAUGCUAUGGAGUUUGGGGGUUCGUGGGAUCAGUUCUUGCCUCUAGCGGAGUUUACUUACAACAAUAGUUAUCAGUCGAGCAUACAGAUGGCACCAUAUGAGUCUCUGUAUGGUAGGCGGUGUAGGUCUCCAGUGGGUUGGUUCGAGCCGGUCGAGGCUAGAUUAUUGGGUACAGACUUGGUUCAGGAUGCCCCGGAGAAGGUUAGGGUGAUUCAGGAUAGACUACGCACAGCUCAGUCCAGACAGAAGAGUUAUGCGGAUCAGAAGGUUCGCGAUGUAGCAUUCAUGGUUGGAGAGCAGGUCUUGCUCCGGGUGUCACCCAUGAAGGGUGUUAUGAGGUUCGGGAAGAAGGGCAAGCUGAGCCCGAGGUUUAUCGGUCUAUUUGAGGUAUUGCGACGUGUUGGGGAGGUUGCUUAUGAGCUUGACUUGCCUCCCAGUCUAGCAGGAGUUCAUCGAGUAUUUCAUGUUUCUAUGCUCCGAAAAUAUCACGGCGAUCUGUCUCAUAUAUUGGAUUUCAGCUCGGUCCAGUUGGACAAGGAUUUAUCUUAUGUUGAGGAGCUGGUGGCGGUCUUAGAUAGGCAAGUUCGAAAGCUGAGGUCGAAGAAUAUUGCUUUUGUAAAGGUUCAGUGGAGAGGCCAGUCGGUCGAGAAGGCGACUUGGGAGACCGAGAGCGAUAUGCGCAGCCCGUUAUCCUCAUCUUUUCACCACUUCAGGUAUGUCUCUAUGCUCGUUUAGGGGAUGAACGAUUGUUUUAAGAGGGGGAGGAUGUAAUGACUCGGCCGGUCGUUUUGAGUGUACUAGCCCCGAUUCCCUAUUUACUAUUUUUCCCGUAUCUAUUUCUGCUUAUUUGACUUGCUGGGAGGUCUUAUUUUUGGUUUCAGAGUGUUUUGGGACACUUAAUCCCUAAAACGGAAGCUUAAGUCUUAGGAUUUUGACCAGAGUCGGAAGUGCGUGAAGACGACUCUGGAAUGGAGUUUUGUCGGUUCCGUUAGCUCCGUUGGGUGAUUUUGGACUUAGGAGCGUGUACGGACUGUGAAUUUGAGGUCUAUAGCUAAUUUAGGCUUGAAAUGGCGAAAGUCAAAUUUUGAGAAGUUUAACCGGGGGGUUGACUUUUUGAUAUCAGGGUCGGAUUCCGAUUCCGGAAGAUAGAAUAGGUCAGUAAUGUUGAAUAUGACUUAUGUGCAAAAUUUGAGGUCAAUCGAACGUGGUUUGGUAGGUUUCGGCGUCGUUUGUGGAAUUUGAAAGUUUAGAAGUUCUUUAGGCUUGAAUCCGAGUGUAAUUGGUGUAUUGAUGUUGUUUUGAGUGAUUCGAAGGCUCGACUAAGUUUGUAUGGUGUUUUAGGAUUUGUUGGUAUGUUUGGUUGAGCUCUCGGGGACCUCGGGUGAGUUUCGGAUGCUUAGCGGAUCAUAUUUGGCCUUGGUGAGAUAGCUGAUAUCUGCUGCUGCAUUUUCUGAUUUCCUCUUACGCGUUCAUGAGAGGGGCCUCACGUUCGCAAAGAGUGUUUCUGAGUUGGUGAGAUUUUGUUCUACGCGUCCACGAAGGAGAAGGCGCGAACGCGAAGGUAUGUCAGUAUGUGCAUCGCGAACACGUGGGUGGCGUCGCAUUCGCGAAGGGGAGUGAGGCAGCUGGGGACCCCCAGUCUUUUGUUCUACGCGUUCGUAAGGUGAGGGACGCGUUCGCGAAGGUCUGAGUUUGCAAAGCUUCGCGUUCGCGAAGCGUAGGUCGCGUUCGCAAAGAGUUAAGUUGAGAGGCAGUCUGAGUUGGUCUACGCGAACGCGAGAGGACGGUCGCGUUCGCGAAGAAGGAAAUCUGGGCAAGCAGUAUUAAUUUCAAAAAUGAGGGUUUGAACCCAUUUUGCAUAUUUUGAGCUAGAGAAUACGGAAUUGGGCGAUUCUUGAUAGGAUUUUGUCACGACCCAAAAUCCUAACAUGUCGUGAUGGCGCCUAUCUCGAUACUAGGCAAGCCGACAACCUCAAUAAACCAUAAUUUCUUUUAAGUUUGAAAAUAUAAUAUUUAAUCACAAUCCACAAGUCUCGCAAAUACCGAUACACACACUCCCAAAACCUGGUGUCACUGAGUACAUGAGCAUCUAUACAUUACAAGUUUGGAAAAUGUGGUCUAUAAUAAUCUGAGACUAAAUACAAUAAACAAAAGGAUAGGAAAGGAGAGACAAGGUCUGCGAAACAUGGUAGCUACCUUUGAAUCUCCGAAAAAUCGACUGUGUGAAAGAAUCAACACCCACUGUAUCCGGGAUCACCUGGAUCUGCACACGAAGUGCAGAGUGUAGUAUGAGUACAACUAACUCAGUAAGUAAUAAUAAUAAAUAAAGAACUGAAAGUAGUGACGAGUUGCUCAGCUAAGUCCAAAUACAGUACUUUCCAAUAUAAAAGAGUAGGUAUGCUCUCAUGUUCAACAUUUAAAAUUUCACUGAAAUUUCAUAUCAAGUUUGACCGAAACAGAAAAUGAUGUUUUUUCAAAAUUUCCAAAAUAGUGAUAUAUGACAGCUGAAAUGGCAAGUAAUGGAGUCAAUGCAUCCUCUCAGAGUAACAGUCACUCAGUCCUCCCAUUCACUCCAACCUCACAGUCACUCAUUCCUCACAGUCACUCAGCAUUUAGCACUCGCACUCAGUAGGUACCUGCGCUCACUGGGGGUGUGUAUAGACUCCGGAUGGGCUUCUUCAGCCCAAGCGCUCUAUCAAGCCAAUCAUGGUUUAAAUCAAUAAAAUAUGCCACGGCGUGCAUCCCGAUCCAUAAAUAGCCUCACAAUUAGGCCCUCGGCCUCACUCAGUCAUCAACCUCUCCAGUCUCUUGGGCUCUCAGAAAUCAUGAUAAGCAGCCCAACAACAAUGAUAUGAUACAUCAAUAAUGAAUAAGAGAGACUGAGGUAAAAAUGUGCAAAUAGAACUGUGACUGAGUGCAAAACAGCAAUUUAGCAAAUAAUUUCACAAGUACACGACCUUCGUGGGUCCCAACAGUGUAUACAUAUGAUUUAAACAUGAUUCAUAAAUCAAUUUCUCUAAUACGGGGAAAAAUAUAGAUCAACAGAUUUUUCAACUACACAGUUCCAUGGAAUUGACCAAGUCAUAAUUCCUACGGUGCACGCCCACACGCCCGUCACCUAGCAUGUGUGUCACCUCAAAACUAAUCACAUAAUACUUAUUCCGGGAUUUCAUACCCUCAAGACCAAAUUUAGAACUGUUACUUACCUCAAGCCAUGUAAAUUUUUAUUCUGCAAUGCCUUUUCCUCGUGAAUUGGCCUCCAAACUCUUAGAAUCUAGUCACAAAUAAUUCGAUUCAGUCAAUAAAAUUUAUUGGAAUUAAUUCCAUAAGAAAAUACUAAUUUUCUAACAAAAUCCAAAAUUUAGCUCAAAAUUCGCCCAUGGGGCUCAUGUCUCGGAACCCGACAAAACUUACAAAAUCUGAAAUCCCAUUCAACCACGAGUCUAAACAUACCAAUUUUACCAAAAUCUGACCUCAACUCGACCCUCAAAUCUUCAAUUUAAACCAAGAGGGUUUUCUAAAUUUUUCAACUUAAUUCACCCAUUAAAUGAUAAAAACAACCAUGAAUUCGGGUAAUUUAACAAAUAUUGAGUUGAGAACAUUUACCCCAUUGUUUUCUCUGAAAAUCUCCCAAAAAUCGCCUCAAUCGGAGCUCCAAAUCGGUAAAAAUGGAAAAUGGGACGAAGUACCAUUUUCAGAAUUUAAACUCUCUGCCCAGUCAUUUGCCCUACGCGGUCGCGAACCUUCUCACGCGAUCGUGAAGCAUAAUUUUUCCACUGCCCAAAUUAAGCCUACGCGAUCGCGGACUUGUCAACGCAAUCGUGAAGCUCAAACUCACAGGCCUACGCGAACACGAACUCAUCCACGCGAUCACGAAGCACAAACGUAUGACCUCCACUUCUGCUCCACUUACUCUAUGUGAACGCGACCUUCUUCACGCGUUCGCGAAUGACAAACUCCCAUAGCUACGCGACCACGGCCCUCUUCACGCAAUCGCAAAGAACAAAAUAUCACUGCCUCAAACAAGCCUACGCAAUCGCGGAUGAACUUAUGCGAUCGCGUAUAAGGAAACCAGAAGAAAAAUACCAGCAUUCUUCAGCAGUUUACCAAGUCCAAAUUUCGAUCCGUUAAGUAUCCGAAACUCACCGGAGGCCCUCGGGUCCUCAACCAAAUACACCAACAUGUCCUAAAACAUCAUACGAAAAUAGUCAAACCCUAAAAUCACCUCAAACGAUGCUAAAACCACGAAUCAUACUCCAAUUCAAGCCUAAUGAACUUUGAAAUUUCAAGUUUCCACAAACGACACUGGAACCUAUCAAAUCAAGUUCGAUUGACCUCACAUUUUGCACACAAGUCAUAAAUGACAUAACGGACCUAUUAAAACUUUCAGAAUCGGAUUUUGACCCCGAUAUCAAAAAGUCAAUCCCCCGGUAAAACUUCUCAAAAAUUCGACUUUCGCCAUUUCAAGCCUAAUUCCAGUACGGACCUCCAAAAACAUUUUCGGACAUGCUCCCAAGUCCAAAAUCACCAUACAGAGCUAUUGGAAUCAUCAGAAUUAAAUUCCGAGAUCGUUUACACAUAAGUCAAUAUCUGGUCAGCUUUUUCAACUUAAGUUUUUAAUUAAGAGACUAAGUAUCUCAUUUCACUCUGAAAUCCUUCCGGACCCGAACCAACUAACUCAGUAAAUCAUAAAAUAAUUGUAAAGCAUAAAUUGAGUAGUAAAUGGGAGAACGGGGUUAUAAUUCUCAAAAUGACCGACCAGGUCAUUAUAGAUAUUUGUGGAGUUGAUUGGGGUAAGUGAUUCCUACUUGGUUUUGGUUAAAACCCAUGAUUAUAUCUUUAAUUUUAUCAUCUAAUUUGUGAUUUGGGGUGAGAAAUUGAGGAAAAAGAGGAAGAACUCUUGAGUUGGGAUUUUGACGUUUUGAAUGGGAUUUUUUAUCGAAUUUGAGUAAAUUUAGUAUGGUUAGACUCGUGAGUGAAUGAGCUUUCGGGUUUUGUGACUUUUGACGGAUUUUGAGACUUCGGUUUGAGGUAAGUAACAGUCUUAAAUAUGGUUUUGAGGGUAUGAAACCCCGAGAAUUGGUAUGAUGUGAGCGUUUGGAGGUGACACACAUGCUAGGUGACGGAUGUGUAAGCGUGCACCGCGAGGGAUUAUGACUUGGUCCGUCCCGUGAGACUGUAAAGUCGAAUAGCCAUUGUUAUUUCUUAUUUUUCCUUGUCUUUGAGUAAUUGACUGCCUUUCAUGUUAGAAACCAUGCUUAGGCCAUAUGAUAUCACUGUUGGGACUCGCAGCAGUCGUAUACUUAUUGAAUUGACUGCCAAUUGUUGUCUUGUACUUAGUCACAGUCUUACUUGCAUUUUAUAUCUAUGUUCCCUCUCAUUUCUUGUUGAUACUAUGUUAUCUUUGUUUGGGCCGAUCUUUGUGAUGUUCGAGAGCCCGAGAGACUAGAGAGGUUGAUGACUGAGUGAGGCCGAGGGCCUGUCUGUGAGGUAUUGAUACUAUGGCACGUGAGUUAUUUGUGCACCACGUGAGUUGUCCAUGCGGUUCCACAUAUUGAUACUAUAGCACGUGAUUUGUCCGUGCGGAUAUAGCGCUUGGGCUGAAAGGAGCCCCUCCGGAGUCUGCACACCUCCAGUGAGCGCAAGUACCUAUUGAGUGUGAGUACUGAGGACUGAGAGCCGAGUGAUUGAGCUGUUAUGACGAGUUGAGUAUCUGUUGCCCUGAAAGGCUGUACUUGUUUUCCAUUUGUUGAUGCACUUAGUUGCUAUCUGUCAUUGUUGUGAAAUUUUUGAAAGAUUCUAUAUUCGAAUUACUUGCACUGUAACUGUAUAAACUGAUUUGACUUGAACUACCGGAUUUAAAAGCAUGUCUAUUAUUUGCUGGAAUUAUUGAAAAUGAACUGUAUUGGUAUGGCUCGUCACUACCUUCUCAGUUCUUUAUUUAUUUCUAUGACUUGUGAGUUGGUUGUACUCAUACUACACCCUGCACUUCAUGUGCAGAUAUAGGUGUGUUUGAUCACGGAGAUCGUUGAGUUCGUGCGCGAUCGAGUACCGAAGACUACGAAGUAGCUGCCGGCGUCUGCAGACCUUUUCUCUCCUUCUAUGUUUUCUUUCUUUUCAGUAUUGAUACUCAGACACUGUUUGUAUUAGACUGGAUAUCUAGAUGCUCAUGAUUCAGUGACACCCCGAUGUCGGGCUACUUUCCGCACUUAUGUUUUGAGUUUUACCCCGUUUUAUGGAAAAACAAACUCCGGUUAUUUUAAAUAUCUUAAUUUAUUUUUGUUAAAUGUUGAAAGUAUUUUGAAAAUGUCGGCUUGCCUACUAUCAUGAUAGGCGCCAUCACGACGGGUUAGGUUUUGGGUCGUGACAAGUAUGAGUACAACCAACUCAGUAAGUAACAAUAAUAAAUAAAGAAGUGAAAGUAGUGACGAGCUUCUCAGCUAAGUCCAAAUACAGUAUUUUCCAAUAUAAAAGAGUAGGCAUGCUCUCAAGUUCAACAUUUAAGAUUUCACUAAAAUUUCAUAUCAAGUUUGACCGAAACAGAAAGUAAUAUUUUUUUCGAAAUUUUCAAAAAUAGUGAUAUAUGACAGCUGAAAUGCAGCAAAUAAUGAAAUCAAUGCAUCCUCUCAGGUUAAUAGUCACUUAGUACUCCUAUUCACUCCAACCUCACAAUCACUCUUUCCUAACAGUCAAUCUUUCCUCACAAUCGCUCAUUCAUCGCAGUCACUCAUCACUCGGCACUCGCACUCGGCACCCGCACUCAGUAGGUACCUGCGCUCACUGGUGGUGUGUACAGACUCCGGAGGGUCUCCUUCAGCCCAAGCGCUAUAUCAAGCCAAUCAUGGCAUAUAACAAUGAAACAUGUUGUGGCGUGCAGCCCGAUCCCAUAAAUAUCCUCACAAUUAAGCCCUCGGCCUCACUCUGUCAUCAACUCUCCAGUCUCUCGGCUCAAGAUGUCAUNNNNNNNNNNNNNNNNNNNNNNNNNGUGAAAUUUCAAUUUGACAUAUAAUUCAAUCGCAGAAAUGACCCCAGUAGUUACCAAUAAUAACAACAUAUGUCUAAGCAUGAUUUUUAAUACGAGUCUCAACUCAAUUUUCCCCAACACGUAGAGAAUGUACGGAUAUCAAUAGAUAAUUCAAUUACACAGUUCCAUGGAAUUUGACCAAGUCACAAUUCCUACGGUGCACGCCCAUACGCCCGUCACCUAGCAUGUGCGUCACCUCAAAACUAAUCACAUAACACAUAAUCCGGUUUUCAUACCCUCGGGACCAAAUUUAAAAUUGUUACUUACCUCAAGCCGUGUAAUUCUUUACUCUACAAUGUCUUUUCCUCGUGAAUUGGCCUCCAAACGCCUAAAAUCUAGCCACAAAUAGUUCGAUUCAGUCAAUAAAAUUUAUUGGAAUUAAUUCCAUAAAAAAUUACUAAUUUUCCAACAAAAUCCGAAAUUUAGCUCAAACAUCGCCCGUGGGGGCCACGUCUCAGAACCCAACAAAAGUUAUAAAAUCUGAAAGCCCAUUCAACCACGAGUCUAACCAUACCAAUUUUACAAAAAUCCGACCUCAACUCGACCCUCAAAUCUUUAAAUUAAACCAAGAGGGUUUUCUAAAUUUUCAAACUUAAUUCACCCAUUAAAUGUUAAAAACAACCAUGGAUUCAGGUAAUUUAACCAAUAUUGAGUUAAGAACACUUACUUCGUUGUUUUCUCUGAAAAUCUCCCAAAAAUCGCCUUUAUCCGAGCUCCAAAUUGGUAAAAAUGGAAAAUCAGAACUUAAACUCUCUGCCCAGUCAUUUGCUCUACGCGAUCGCGGACAAUCUCACGCGAUCGCGAAAUAUAGUUUGCCCCUGACCAGUUUGAACUAUAGCUACUAACUCAAGGUCGUGGACCAGAUAAUUCUUCUCAUAUACCGUUAACUGUUUGGACACAUAGGCAAUCACCCUACCGUCUUGGAUCCGCACUGCGUCGGGACCAAUACGCGAUGCAUCACAAUACACAGUAUAAGACCCUGAACCUGUAGGCAACACCAAUAUUGGAGCUGUAGUCAAAGCUGUCUUGAGCUUUUGAAAGCUCUCUUCACAUUCGUCCAACUACCUGAACGGAGCACCUUUCUGGGUCAAUUUAGUCAUAGGCUAUGCAAUAGGCGAGAAACCCUCCACGAAGCGACGAUAAUAACCAGUCAAGCCGAGAAAAAUCCGAAUCUCAGUAACUGAAGAUGGCCUGGGCCAACUCUGAACUACCUCUAUUUUCUUCGGAUCCACCUUAAUCCCUUCACUGGACACUAUGUGUCCCAAGAAUGCCACAGAACUAAGCCAGAACUCACACUUAGAGAAUUUGGCAUAAAGUUUCUCUUCCAUCAGCCUCUGUAGUACAAUACUCAAAUGUUGUGCAUGUUCCUCUUGGCUACGUGAGUACACCAAGAUAUCAUCAAUAAAUACCACGACAAAUGAGUCAAGAUACAGAUGGAAUACGCUAUUCUUCAAGUGCAUAAAUGUUAUUGGGGCAUUGGUUAGCCCAAAUGACAUCACAAGAAAUUCGUAGUGACCAUAACGAGUCCUGAAUGCCGUCUUUAGAAUAUUCGAAUCCCAAAUUUUCAACUGGUGAUACCCCGAUCUCAAAUCAAUUUUGGAGAAUACCCUUGCUCCCUGAAGUUGGUCAAAUAAAUCAUCAAUACGCGGCAAAGGAUACUUAUUCUUGAUUGUAACUUUGUUCAAUUGCAUGUAAUCGAUACACAUUCGCAUAGUACCAUCUUUCUUUUUCACAAACAGAACCAGUGCACCUCAAGGCGACACACUAGGACUAAUAAACCCCUUAUCAAGAAGCUCGUGAAGUUGCUCUUUCAAUUCUUUUAACUUAGUUGGUGACAUACGAUACGGAGGAAUAGAAAUGGGCUGAGUGUCCGACACCAAGUCAAUACUGAAAUCAAUAUCCCUGUCGGGCGGCAUACCCGGCAGGUCUGCAGGAAAUAUAUCCGGAAAGUCUCUCACUACUGGUACUAAAUCAAUAGUAGGAGUAUCUGCAUCAACAUCUCUCACAAAAGCCAAAUAUGACAAACACCCCUUCCCAACCAUACGUUGGGCUUUCAAAUAAGAAAUUACCCUGCUAGGAACAUAAUCUAGAGAACCUCUCCAUUCGACCCUCGACAACCCCGACAUUGCCAAUGUCACAAUUUUUGCGUGACAGUCCAGAAUAGCAUGACAUGGAGACAACCAAUCCAUACCCAGGAUUACAUCGAAAUCAAACAUACUAAGCAAUAAGAGAUCAACUUUAGUCUCCAGUCCCUCAAUAGUUACCACACAUGACCGAUAUACACGGUCCACAAUAAUAGUAUCGCCCACCGGCAUAGAUACACGAAUAGGUGAAACUAAGGACUCGUGGGGCAUAUCCAGAUAAUGAGUAAAGUGCAAUGAUACAUACGAAUAAGAAGAACCAGGGUCAAAUAAUAUAGAAGCUUCCCUGUGGCACACUGAGACAAUACCUGUGACCACUACAUCUGAGACAGUGACAUCUGGCAUGGCAGGAAAAGCAUAGAAUCGGGCAUGACCACCACCUGAUCAGCCUCCCCCUCUUGGGAAACCCCUAGUUGACUGACCCCCACCAUGUGUUGGCUGGGCGGUGGUAAAGUAACUGGUGCUAAAGUCGUAAUUUGACUCCUCUUCUGUACUGGGCCUCCCGAGCAACGAGGACAUUGUCUCCACAUAUGCCCAAUUUCCCCGCACUCAAAGCAACUCCCUAGUACUAGUGGUGGUAAGGACUGAAUCGGGCCCCGAGAACCAGAAUAACUGCUAGAAACAACCGGUGCAAAUGAACCCUGAACUAAAGGGGUACGGGACGAACUCUGGGCUGGGAGGGCACUGAGAGAUGACGGACCCUGAUGAGAACUAUAUGAACCAUGGCUAGAUGAUGCACCACGGUGAACUGGAUGACCCGUCUGUGCUUGUUUGUAAGGACGACCCCUGCCGCGAUAAAACUGACCCCCUGAUGGAACACCACUGAAAUCACCUGGUCCACGAGGCCUCUUGGCCUCCCUCUCUCCAUGUUCCUGACUACGGACCAUCUCUAUCUGCCAAGCAAUGUCAACAACCUCAUCAAAAGUAGUACCAGAUACUCUCUCCCGAGUCAUAAGUAACCGUAGCUAAUAUGUGAGGCCAUCAAUUAACCUCCUAAUCCUCUCCCUAUCAACGGGAACCAACCAAACGGCGUGACGAGCCAACUCAGAAAAUCUCAUCUCGUACUGCGUCACAGACAUGCCAUCCUGACAUAACUGCUCAAACUGUCUGUACAACUCUUCUCUACAAGACUGCGACACAAACUUCUCUAAAAAGAGAAUGGAGAAUUCCUGCCAUGUAAGUGGUGUUGCACCGACCGGCCUGCGUCCCUCAUAAGCCUCCCACCAUCUGAAGGCAGCCCCAGAAAACUGAAAAGUAGUGAACUAGACCCCACUGGUCUCCAAGAUACCCGUUGUCCGAAGCAUCCGCUGGCAUUUAUCCAGAAAACCCUAAGCAUCCUCUGACUCAGCACCGCUAAAUGAUGGAGGUCGAAUCCUCCCAAAUCUCUCAAGUCUCCUCUACUCAUCAUCUUCCAUAACGGGGACUAUCGGGGCCUGAACAACUGCGGCAAACUGGGCUGGUAAUCCCCCCGGUAUCUGAAGUCUCUGUACUACCUAAUCUGGAGUACGGGAUACAGGGGUAUGAGUACCUCCCCCGGCCUGAGAAGUGGCAGGUGUGGCCUGAGCCGAAACCACCUGAGCAAGACCAGUGCAAACUGUCAAUAUCUGGGCCAAAGUCUCCUGAAGGCCUGGAAUCUCAAUGGGCACAACUGGUGCCUGAGCUGGUCCUGUCGGCUCAGCUAUAUCUGGAAUCUGCUCUUGAGCUUGAGCAACUGGUGGUACUACAAGUGUUGGUCCAACUGUGGUACGAGCUAGACCUCUAUCUCUACCUCGGCCCUGGCCUCUACCACGGCCCCGGCCUCUCGCGACCCUAACUGGUGACACUGGUCGCUGACUGUCCGAUUCAGUAGUACGUGUUCUCACCAUCUGUGAGAGAAUAGAAUAACAGAAAUUUAGUUUCCGGAAUCAACAAAUUCGCAUGAUAGAGUACAAGAAAUUGAAAUUUUCCUAAGGGUUCGGCAACCUCUCGAAGAUAAGUACAGACGUCUCCGUACCGAUCUGCAAGACUCUACUAAACCUGCUCAUGACUCGUGAGACCUAUGUAACCUAGGCUCUGAUACCAACUUGUCACGACCCAAAAUCACACAUGUCGUGAUGGCGCCUAUCGUAAUACUAGGCAAGCCGACAACCUCAAUAAAUCAUAAUUUCUUUUAAAUGCAGAAAAUAUAAUAAUUAAAUUUAAGAGAAAACCCCACACAUACCGAUAUAAAUACACUCCCAAAAUCCGGUGUCACUGAGUACAUGAGCAUCUAUAUAUUACAAGUCUGGAAAAUCCGGUCUAUAAUAAUCUGAGACCAAAUACAAUAAAUAAAAGGAUAGGGAAGGAGAGACAAGGUCUGCGAAAUAUAGCAGCUACCUCUGAAUCUCCGAAAAUCAACUGUGUGAAAGAAUCAACACCCACUGUGUCUGGGAUCACCUGGAUCUGCACACGAAGUGUAGGGUGUAGUAUGAGUACAACCAACUCAGUAAGUAACAAUAAUAAAUAAAGAAGUGAAAGUAGUGACGAGCUUCUCAGCUAAGUCCAAAUACAGUAUUUUCCAAUAUAAAAGAGUAGGCAUGCUCUCAAGUUCAACAUAUGGGAUUUCACUGAAAUUUCAUAUCAAGUUUGACCGAAACAGAAAAUAAUAUUUUUACGAAAUUUCCAAAAAUAGUGAUAUAUGACAGCUGAAAUGCAGCAAAUAAUGAAAUCAUUGCAUCCUCUCAGAGUAACAGUCACUUAGUCCUCCCAUUCACUCCAACCUCAUAGUCACUCUUUCCUCACAGUCGCUCAUUCCUCACAAUCACUCAUCACUCGGCACUCGGCACUCGGCACUCACACUCAGUAGCUACCUGCGCUCACUGGGGGGUGGGUACUGACUCCGGAGGGGCUCCUUCAGCCCAAGCGCUAUAUCAAUCCAAUCAUGUCAUAUAACAAUGAAACAUGUUGCGGCGUGCAGCCCGAUCUCAUAAAUAUCCUCACGAUUAGGCCUUCGGCCUCACUCAGUCAUCAACCUCUCCAGUCUCUCGGGCUCAAGAUGUCAUGAAAAUCAUCCCAAAAAUGAUAAUAUGAUGCAUCAAUAAAUAGCAACAGAGAGUGAGAUAUGAUAUGAAAUGAAUGAACAUGACUGAGUGUGAAAUUACAAUUUGAACAUAUAAUUCAACCGCAGAAAUGACCCCAAUAUGUGCCAAUAAUAACAACAUAUGUCUAAGCAUGAUUUUUAAUACGAGUCUCAACUCAAUUUUUCCUAACACAUAGAGAAUGUACAGAUAUCAACAGAUAAUUCAACUAUACAGUUCCAUGAAAUUUGACCAAGUCACAAUUCCUACGGUGCACGCCCACACACCCAUCACCGAGCAUAUGUGUCACCUCAAAACCAAUUACAUAAUACAUAUUCUGGGGUUUCAUACCCUUAGGACCAAAUUUAGAACUGUUACUUGCAUCAAGCCGUGUAAUUCUUUAUUCUGUAAUGUCUUUUCCUCGUUAAUUGGCCUCCAAACGCCUCGAAUCUAGCCACAAAUAGUUCGAUUCAGUCAAUAAAAUUUAUUGGAAUUAAUUCCAUAAGAAAUUACUAAUUUUUCAACAAAAUCCAAAAUUUAACUCAAAAAUCACCCGUGGAGCCCACGUCUCAGAACCCUAUAAAAGUUACAAAAUCUGAAAGCCCAUUCAAUCACGACUCUAACCAUACUAAUUUUACCAAAAUUUCGAUCUCAACUCGACCCUCAAAUCUUCAAAUUAAACCAAGAGGGUUUUCUAAAUUUUCCAACUUAAUUUACCCAUUAAAUGUUAAAAACAACCAUGGAUUCAGGUAAUUUAACCAAUAUUGAGUUAAGAACACUUACUCCGUUAUUUUGUCUAAACAUCUCCCAAAAAUCGUCUUUAUCCGAGCUCCAAAUCGGUAAAAAUAGAAUUUUCAGAACUUAAACUCUCUGCCCAGUCAUUUGCUCUACGCGAUCGCGAAGUACAGUUUGUCUCUGACCAGUUUUAACCUUAUACGAUCGCGGACCUGACCACGCGAUCGCGAUGCACAACUUCACAGACCUACGCGAUCGCGGACUCGUCCACGCGAUCGCGAAGCACAACGCGUGACCUCCACUUCUGCUCCAUUUUCUCUACGCGAACGCGGCCUUAGCCAUGCGUUCGCGAAUUAUAAAAUCCCAGAGCUAUGCGAUCGCAUCCCUCUUCACGCAAUCGCAUAGAACAAAACUCAACAGCCGCCAAUUAACCCUACACGAUCGCGGAUAUACCCACGCGAUAGCAUAGAACAAAACCUCCACUAUCCAGCUAAGCCUACGCGAUCGCGGACAAGUUCAUGCGAUCGCGUAUAAGGAAACCAGAUACAGACAUCAGAAAAUUCCAGCAAAAUUUCAUGUCCAAGAAUUGAUCCGUUAACCGUCCGAAACUCACCCGAGGCCUCCGGGACCUCAACCAAAUACACCAACAAGUCCUAAAAUAUCAUACGAACUUAGUCGAAGCGUCAAAUCACAUCAAAUAAUAUUAAAAAUACAAAUCAUACCCCAAUUCAAGCCUAAUGAACUUUGAAAUUUUAAAUUUCUACAAACAACGCCGAAACCUAUCAAAUCACGUCCGAUUGACCUCAAAUUUUGCACACAAGUCAUAAAUGACAUAACGGAGGUAUUCCAAUUUUCAGAAUCAGAUUUUGACCCCGAUAUCAAAAAGUCAUUCCCCCGGUCAAACUUCCCAAAAAUUCGACUUUCGCCAUUUCAAGCCUAAUUUCACUACGGACUUCCAAAUAAUUUUUCGGACACGCUCCUAAGUCCAAAAUUACCAUACGGAGCUAUUGAAAUCAUCAGAAUUAAAUUUCGAGGUCGUUUACACAUAAGUCAAUAUCCGAUCAACUUUUCCAACUUAAGUUUUCAAUUAAGAGACUAAGUGUCUCAUUUCACUCCGAAAUCCUUCCGGACCCGAACCAACUAACUCGGUAAGUCAUAAAACAACUGUAAAGCAUAAAUUAAGCAGUAAAUGGGAGAACGGGGUUAUAAUAUUCAAAACGACCGGCCAGGUCGUUACAAUAACCCCAAAGUUUUGCUUAUUAAAUUUUCCUUGUUUGAACUAUAUAUAAAGUUCUAAAUAUUUAAAUUUUUAAAAUCAAUCAAAAUUUAUUUCUAUAAACUAUACUAUUAUCCAAAAUUCAACUUAUAAUGAAAUACGAAUUCAGUUAAAAUUGUGUCCACUUAAAACCACACGCGAUGAUAACAAUAAGAGACCAUGAACUUCGACGGAGGGGAUCUGCUUUGACGAUUGAGAUACAACAAAGCAAUCGGAGCUUUUGGAUUCUAUAUUUGGACGAGGGAGAGGGGAAGAAAGAGGGGUAGGUUCUUUUUUUAAGUUUUCUUAACAUUUUAUUUUCUUUUUUUAUUCUUAAAAUUUUAAAACAAAAUUAUUACAUUCGCUUCAUGAAUUACAAUCUUUAUAAAUAUGAUGUCUGCAUGGUAUGAAUUGUUCAGUUAAAUAAUUUACCUUGAAAAUAUUGAAUUUGUCAAUUUUUUUAGACUUACUACCUUUCCUUUUUAAUGUUAAUGUUAGACCUACCUUAAACAAGUAAUUUAGAUGUUUUAUGAUCCAAGUUAAUGACAAUUAGAUGAUGAAAAGGAAGAGUUGUCAAUACUUUACUACUACUUUUAUUUUACUUGUCAAUACUUUACUACUACUUUUAUUUUACUUAUUAGAAGUGCCAUAACGAAAUUUCUAAUAUAUAAACACUUAGACUAAUGGGGCAUAUUUAAUUUAAGUAACGAACUAAUGUAUACAAUUUUAUUAAACGCUUACUUUGUGACAUGGAUUUUAUCAUCUAACAUUAAAAAAUACAUAUAUAUAUAUAUAUAUAUAUAACAAAGUAAGACACAAGUGAGGGAAGUUACUUUACCUCUUUAGAUAAAAAAAAAAAAUAUUACUUAAGAGAAUAUUUUAUGGUGUUUGAUUCAAAAAAAUUGACUUAUCUUUAAAAAAUUAUUUUUGGAAAAACAUAUUUCGUCAUACCAAACACACUCGUGUGUUAAUAUUACAUCUUUUGCUUUAUCGAAUAUGCACGGAACAACUGCUUUCAAUUCUGUAAUAUUUCGAGCUAACAGACACAUGGAUGCUUUUGGCAGGAAUGUGAUGAAAUAAGAUCAUACACAAGGUGAUAUAGGAAAAUUGUAUGAGUUAUAAAUAAUGAUAUAAUACAUGGUGGAUCAGUUUCAUCGCUUCUGAUCCGAGACUUUUGUUGGGUUUAAUAUUCAUCUUUUUCUGUAAUUAUUAUUUUAGAACUCAAAUAUAUUUUUAAUAUAAUAUUUAACAAUACAGUUUUUAAAAAUUUAUAUUUAUUGAUAUGGGAUACACACGCAACACGCGUACCCUGAGACUAGUUCAUUAAAAAAUGGGUUGGAUAAUGAACUAUUUAAAAACGGGUCAAAUAUGGAUAAGGACCAUAUUAUCCACUUAGAAAAUGAAUAACCAAUUUGUUUAAUUUUGAAAAACUACCGGUUAUGUCCAUUUAUAAGUAGCUUAUUACAAAAAUUGACCAAUUCAUUAAAUAUUAUCAAUAUUAGCCAAUUAGUUAUUUGUAGCUAAAAUACGUUAAAUAUUUCUUUCUUUUGAGUGGGUGUUAUUAGAAUAGUUUGGGUACAUCUUAAGAAGCUUGAAUCUCAGUUUUGGGAUGAUUUGAUGGAGUUUUGAGGUGGUUUGAAUUGAAAAGUAGAAGAUGAACAUGAAAAAAUAAUAAUUUUUGUAUCACAUUGUAUAUCAUUUGUGUAUCACAUAUGUAUUAUAUUUGUAUCAAAUGUGUAUUACAUGUGUAUACAUGUGUGAUAUAUGUUUGAUACAUGUAUUGCAGAAGAAUUUUUUGAACUCGAUUUUAACUACGAAUUUUAAUACCAAAUUUGUCCAAAUUGAAAAGAAUAAAGUCCAACCUAAAGUUAUGGUUCAUGUCUCACAUAAGGAAAGAGCCGAUCACUUGGUGUCAAAUCUCAUUCAAUGUGCUGCCAUAUCCUAGGGAUUUUCUCAGUCAAGAUUCACAGCUCCUCAAUCUCUUAUUGACCAUUAGAACCAAAUCAGGAAGAUGCUAAUUAAUCUUUUCUUUCCUAUUUUAUCUCUCGUGUGCUUCUGUAUAUAAAUAGACUCCUAUUGUAUUCUAGAAAAUAGACAGAGAAACCAAUACAACUUUGAAUUGCAAUUCUAAAAAUUUUAUCGUGGUAUCAGAGCCUCACGAGAGAUCAACCACAACCACAUGGCCUCUUCUGCUCUUUCCAACACUGAACCUGAACUUACUCUAUAAGUUCUUCAUCAGUGUUCCAGCCUUACCUCUAUGAAAUUUGACACCUUCAAUUACCUGCUAUGGCAAUCACAAAUGGAGCCAUUGAUUCAACGUUUAGACAUGGCACAUCAUUUGAUCGAAGGCCAUGAACCAACAAAGGAGAUUACUAAAGAUGACGGAAAAAUUGUUCCAAAUCCAAUUUAUAUUCUCUGGACAAAAAAUGAUGGUCUGUUAAAGGCCUGGCUGCUGAGAAAAAUUGAAACAGAGGUGCUGAUCUCUCUUGAAGAUAUAUCCUCAGCUCACAAGUUAUGAAAAUCCAUUGAAGAACGAAUUCUUCCUCAUAAUGUAGAAAAAGAAAUGAUGCUUGAUGAUACCUUGAUGAGUUUAAAAAGGAAAAAUCUCUUGCUAGAUGAAUAUAUUAAGAAAUUCAAAAGUGUUUGUGAUAGUCUUGCAGCAAUCAAGAAAUCGGUAAAUGAAACAAAGAAGGUGUUUCAGUUAGCUAGAGGUCUCGGGCCAAAAUAUCAAGAUUUUCGAACUGCUAUGCUAACCAAACCACCUUAUCCCACUUAUUAUCAGUUUAUUUUAUCAUUGCAAGCCUAUGAACGGAUGCUUAAUAACAGCAACAAAGAAAAAGAAAGCAUGACAUGCCAUGACCAAGCCUUUGUCGCCCAAAGAGGACGAGGACGAGGUCGAGGCGGAGGCAGAUUUAGUUCCAGAGGUAGAGGAUUCAAUCUAGUAGCGAGGUAUAAUCCAAACUCUCACCAAAAUACUAAAUUCAAUAAAAAUAAAAAUGAACAGGUUGCAAAAAUAUUUAAUUGAAAACAAACCUCGCCUCACCAAUAAGGAGAAAGCAUUGUGAAAUGUCAAAUAUGUGAAAAGUUCAACCACACUGCCCUUGAAUGUUAGAAUCGGUUUGACCAUUCAUUCCAAUCAGAGGACAAUCUACCAAAGGCACUUGUUGCAAUGAGUUUAAAAACUGAAGACGAUCCAAAUUUGUAUGCAGACUCGAGAGCAACAAUACAUAUUUUAAAUGACAUGGGUAAACUCUCUAAAGUCAUGCAUUAUAAAGGUAAUGAUACAAUUCUUGUUGGUAAUGGAGAAACUUUGAAUAUUUCUCACAUUGGUGAAGAAAAAUUUGAGACGCAAAGUGGUACUCUAGACCUUAAAAAUAUUCUGGUUGUUCCAAACAUUAAAAGAAUCUGAUAUCUGCGGGACAACUAGCUCAUGAUAAUGCAUAUACUAUUAAGUCAUUGGAGGGCAAAACACUUGCUAAAGGAUGCAAAAAUAAAAGGUUGUAUGCACUAUAUGAAAUAAAGCAUCAAGUCUUUAUUGUUUUCAAAAAUCCUGCCUCUAAAAAUAUUUGGCACAAGAGAAUGGCCACCCUCAUUCAAAACUUUUGAAGAUCCUACAUUUAAGAAAUUUAAUCAAUGUUUCUAGUUGGGAAAAAGAAAAAUAUGUUUGUAUUAAUUCCCAAAUGGGAAAUAAUUGCAGAAUUCUUUUUCCUUCAUCAAAUAAUAUUUCAAGAUUUCCUCUAGAAAAACUGCAUUGUGAUUUGUGGGGUCUUGUUCCAAUUCUAUCUUGCCAAUAAUUUAAAGACUAUGUAGUUAUUAUUGAUGAUUAUACUCGUUACACGUGACAUUUUCCUGUAAAGAAGAAAUUUGAUUUCUAUGAAAGUUUUCUUAAAUUUCAAAGACAAGUUGAAAAUCAGUUUGAAAGAAAAAUAAAAAAAAUUCAAAGUGAUGGUGGAGGUGAAUUCACAUCAACUGAGUUUGACAAUCAUUUAUCUAAAUGUGGCAUCCAUCAUUAUUUUUCUUAUCCACAUACUCCAGAAUUAAACGGUGUAGCUGAAAGGAAGCAUCAUCAUAUUGUUGAAACAUGCCUCACCUUACUAUUUCAGGCAAAUCUCCCUCUGAAAUAUUGGGUUGAUACUUUUCUAACAACAUGUUUUUUGAUAAAUCGUAUGCCCUCCACAAUGUAAAAAAUAAAAACUCCUUUCUUUAAAUUGUUUACUUGACACUCUCACCAUGGGAUUCUAAAAGUUUUUGGAUGUACGUGCUUUUCAUAUUUAAGAGACUAUGAAAAAAAAUAAGUUUGCAAAGAAAAUAUAUUCUUGUGUUUUCUUUGGAUAUCAUCCUAUUCACAAGGGUUAUAGAUGCCUUGAUCCUUCAAUUAAUAAGGUUUGGAUUUCUCGACAUAUUAUUUUUGAUGAAAAUAUUUUUCCUUACGCUCCUUCCAAAGAAAUGUAUAUACAAGAAAAUCUAGAAGUCACAACAUUUCCCGAUUCAGAUGCAUGGAGAAAGAAAGAGACUGACUUCACAAUUCAAAAAGGGAGUGCACAACAAUUAAAAUUCACUAAAGUAACUUAUGUAAAGAUUCAAAAAGGGCGAUCGUGCACUCUAUAUGAUGAACACCAUAUUACCAAAUAUCAAAAAGAAAAUGAGAAGACAACUCAGUUGUACAAAACGGAGUUAGAAAAUAACUCUAUGCCAGAACUCACUACUGACUUGGACAAUGCAAUAGAAAAUAUAGAAACUCAUGCAGUAGAAAGUGAACAACUUUUAGUCAACAACAAAGAACCAGAAUCAUCGAGCAAUGGACAUAAAACCUCUAACUCUAAUAAUUCUCGAACAACGAACAUCAAUCUCUUCUCGAGUCACCAAAUAUGAAUGACCAACUAACUACUAUUUCUAAUGAUUUUGGUGCAGGUUCAAUGCAAGCUUCAAAAGACAAUCAUAUGGUUACUCGAAUGAAGUUGAGAAAUAAUCCAGAACAAGAUCCUAACCUGGCAAAUAAAACUCAACAAAUUCGAGACAAAAGGGAUCAACAACACGACAAAUUACAUCAUAGCACAGUCAUCAUAACCAGCAACAUUACAACUCCAAAAUCAUAUCGAGAUGCUCUUGCUCACUCCCACUGAAAGAAAGCAAUGAAAGAAGAAACGGAAGCUCUAAAUGAAAAUCACACAUGGACCCUUGUGCCCAAACCAACAAACACUAAUAUAGUUGAUUCAAAAUCGAUUUUUUGAACCAAAUUCAAGGAAUAUGGAUCAAUAGAAUAAUACAAAGCCCGCUUAGUUGCACAAGGGAACACACAAGUGAAAGGAAUAGACUAUGAAAAAACUUACAGUCCAGUUGUAAGAGCUACUACCAUGAGAUUUGUUCUAGCUAUUGCGGUCUCGUCAAGCUGGAAACUAAGGCAACUGAACAUCAAAAAUGCCUUCCUCCAUGGUAUUUAAAAAAAACAAUAUGUGUGGAACAACCACCGGGAUUCAAGAAUCCAAAACUCCCUGAUUAUGUGUGCAAACUAAGCAAAUCACUCUAUGGACUCAAACAAGCGCCUCGUGCCUGGUUUAACAGCUUAUCUAAUUUUUUAAUUCACAUUAUUUUUAUAUGUAGCAUGGCAGAUUAUUUAUUAUUUAUUUUAUGAAAAAAUAGCAAUAUUAUGCUCAUGCUAAUUUAUGUCGAUGAUAUUGUGCUUCCAGGAAACAAUGAAGAAUUUAUAUAGGUAUUAAUAAGUCAACUCAGCUCAGAAUUUGCAUUGAAGGACUUGAGAAAAUUACAUUACUUUCUUGGGCUCGAAGUGCAAUAUUUUUCGGGAGAAAUUACUCUAUCACAAGUCAAGUACACCAAAGAUCUUCUGAACCAAGCAAGCCUUAUAGAAUGUUCUCAAUUCAAUACACCAAUGACAUUGAAAUCACAACUAACACCAGAAGACUCAAAAUUAGUCGAGGCAAAGGAAUACCGAAGUCUAGUAGGUGUGCUUCAAUAUCUAACUUAUACACGACCUGACAUCAUAUAAGUAGUCAAUAAGGUAUGCCAAAAUCUCCAAGAGCCAACAGAGGUAGACAUUAAAGCUUUAAAAAGAUACUUCGCUAUCUCAAAGGAACAAUGCACUAUGGAAUUAAAUUUCUUGCCCAGAGUCUACUAAAAGCUAUACGGAUUUUGUGACGCGGAUUGGGCAUGAUGUCCAGACACUAGAAGAAGUAGCCAACGAUUUCGAGAUAAAGCUCUAAAGCAGAAUAUAGGUCAAUGGCUAGUACAACGGCAGAACUAGUAUGGAUUACCUUCUUAUUCAGAGAUGUUGGAAUUAAAUUACAUGAACCACAACUCUUUUGUGAUAACAAAAUUGCAUUGUACAUGACCAUAAAUCUAGUGUUUCAUGCGCACAUGAAGCACAUAGAGAUUGACUACCACUUUGUUCGUGAAAAGGUAGCUAUUGGAGCACUAACGACUCGAUAUAUUCCCUCUUCUCACCAGAUCGAAGAUAUCUUUACCAAGCCUUUCUCAAAGCUCCCAUUUCAGCAUUUUUGGGACAAGCUAGGAGUACAUUCCAUCAUUUCCUCCAGCUUGAAAAAGGUGAAGAGAAUGAAGUCCAACCUACAUCUAUGGUUCAUGUCUCACAUAAGGAAAGAGCCAAUCACUUGGUAUCAAAUCUCAUUCAGUGUGCUAUCAUAUCCCAGGGAUUUUCUCAAUCAAGAUUCACAGCUCCUCAAUCUCCUCUUGACCGUUAGAACCAAAUCAGGAAGAUGCUAAUUAAUCUUUUCUUUCCUAUUUUAUCUCUCAUGUGCUUUUGAAUAAAUAGACUCCUGCUGUAUUAUGGAAAAUAGGCAGAGAAAGCAAUACAACUUUGAAUUGAAAUUCUAAAUUUUUUAUCUCAAAUCACCUCAAAUCUUUCUCAAAUUUUGUAUAUGUACUCAUCUAUAUAUUUUCAAUGAAUUUUAUCCAUACCCAUUGAAAAAUAUCCUUUUCUUUGCUACAUCAUCCAUGAAAUUUCCUUUCCAUCUUGUAUAUAACAGUGCUAAUCACGCUUUAAAAUAUAGUUGGAGAUCUUUGUGUGUGAUUCUUGGAGAGAAAGAACCUUAUUUAUUUGGGUUUUUAAUUUUUAUAUAUGCUUGGGUAUUUUGGUAAGUCUAUGGUUAAUAGAUAUAGGUUGGUAAGUUGGGACUUAUUUAGGACAUUUAUGUAAGUUUCCCUUUAACAUUUAUAUUUGUAAAGCCUCAAAUUGGGGUUCCUCAAGUUUGGGAGACUAGGAAUUCNNNNNNNNNNNNNNNNNNNNNNNNNNNNNNNNNNNNNNNNNNNNNNNNNNNNNNNNNNNNNNNNNNNNNNNNNNNNNNNNNNNNNNNNNNNNNNNNNNNNNNNNNNNNNNNNNNNNNNNNNNNNNNNNNNNNNNNNNNNNNNNNNNNNNNNNNNNNNNNNNNNNNNNNNCAUGGAUAAUAUGGUUAUUCAUAUUAUCCGCCAGUUAACCUAUUUUUUAUCCGUAUUAAAUAUGGAUGAGAUCGAAUAAUUUAUUCGUUUUUGCAUUACCCAUUUUCAACCCUUCCACAUCCGACCCGACCCGACCCGCCCGAUUGCCACCCCUAGUCUAGGAAAAAGUGCACGGUUAGCCACUAAAUAGCGAUGUUUUUACUCUUAACUUCAUGUGAAUGUUAAGGACAUAUGUGCUUGAUCCGCUUAACUUCAUAUGUGCAAUGUAAAUGUUAAGGACAUGGCGUCCUUGUGAUGACCCAAAAUGUCAUAUUUAAUUUAAACAUUUAUUUCUGUGUUCUAAGACAUCAAAAAGGACUAUUUAUCAUUUUUCGACUUACGUGUGUAGUCUUUAUAAUUUUCUGAAAAGUUUUUAUGUGAAACAUUGAUUAAAAUAUGAAAUGGUGCUCCAAAACUCAUCUAAGUAGACAUUGGUCAACAUUUUAAGCAAACAGACUCGGAUUAGUAUUUUGACAGCUCCGGUAGGUUCAUAUCGUGAUUUGGGACUUGGACGUAUGCCCGGAAUUAAAUUUGAAGGUCCCUAGCUCAAACUAUCGCCAUUUAACGAAAACUAAAAAUCUAAAGGCUAAACAUUUCUAAAGUUUGACCGCGGAGUUGACUUUAUUGAUAUCGGGGUCGAAAUCCAAUUUCAAAAAUUAGAAUAGGUCUGUUAUAUCAUUUAUGACUUGUGUGCAAAAUGUGAGGCCAAUCGGACUUGAUUUGAUAGGUUUCGGCGUUGAAUGUAGAAGUUAAAAGUUCUUAGUUUCAUUAGGCUUGGAUUGGGGUAUAAUUCAUGGUUUUAGCAUUGUUUGAUGUGAUUUGAGGUUUAGACUAAGUUCGUAUGAUAUUUUAGGACUGGUUGGUAUAUUUGGUUGAGGUCCUGGGGGCCUCGGGUGAGUUUCAGAAGGUUAAUGGAUCGCAAUUUGGACUUAAACAGUUGCUGCCUGCUGGAAAUUUUAGUCUUCUAGUGCAAUCACACCUGCAGAAUUUAGCUCGCAGGUUUGGGCUGAGGUCGAGCUCGCGACCAGGCAUGGGCCGAGGUCGAGGUCACGACCAAACAUGGGCCGAGGUCGAGGUCGAAGAAGCGAGCAGUUGAGGCCGAGGUCGCGACCAAGCAUGAGUUGAGGGCGGGGUCGCAAAAGCGAGCAGUUGAGGCCGAGGUCGCAGAAGCAAAAAGCCCUGGACAGAACAUAUUAAUUCGGGGGUUGACCAUUUUUACCCAUUUUUGGAUUUUAAGAGCUCGGGUGAGGCGAUUUUCAGGAGAUGUUUCAAGAAAAAUAUUGGGGUAAAUGUUCUUUAUCCUAUAUUGAUUAUAAUUCACGAUUCCAUACUCAUUUACAUCAUGAAUCCGUGAAUUUAUGGAAGAAAUAAAAUCUUCAAAAAACGAAAUCUAAGAUUUAAAGGUCCAUUUGACAUCGGAAUUUGAUAAUUUUUGUAUGUUUGAACUCGUAUCGGAACGAGUGUUUGGAUUUCGUGAGUUUUUCAGGAUUCGAGAUGCGGGUCCCACUAUCGAUAUUUUUUAAAAAGAAAGUCAGAUUUUAAUCCGAAAAAUUAAUAAAUUCAUAUGGAAUUAAUUUCUACAAUUCGUGUUGAGUAUAUUAAAUUGUUUGUGACUAGAUUUGAAGCUUUCAGAGAUGAAUUCGCGAGGCAAAGGUGUAUUGAAAUCUUAAAAUUUGGUUUCGAAGCGAGAUAAGUGUUGUGGUUAACCUUGACUUGAGGGAAUAAAACCCUUGAAUUAUUUGUUAUGUAAAUUUCAUAUGUAACGAUGUAUAGGUGAGGUGACGAGUGCCUAUACGUUGUCAAAUUGAUUAUUUGCCUAUUUAUCAGAAAAAUCAUAAAUUAAUUUAAAUCAUGAAAUAAUUAUUAUAUUAAUUAUUUCUCUGAUAUUCCUUGUCCAAUAUUAUGUCUUAAAUUCAUGCUAUAAUUUCUAUAUGCUUAUUUGGCUUAUGUGUCUCAAUUGCUACUUGACAUUUAGCAUAUUAAAUAUUAAAUUACCUAUUUUUUCUCUGAUUUUCAUAAUUAAUUGCUACAUGUCAUUAUUUGUUUCAUAAAUAAAUUAUAAUUAUUGUAUGCCUUGUUGCUUAAUAAUUUCUCAUUNNNNNNNNNAAAUUAUAUUGCUGGAGCGGGUUGCACGCCGCAACGGAAAUAAAAAUGAAUAUAUUGGGGGAUCGGGUUGCACGCCACAAUAAAUUAAUUUAAAGUUUAUAUUGCUGGAGCGGGUUGCACGCCGCAACGGGAUUUAAUUGAAAGGUUAUAUUGUUGGAUCGGGUUGCACGCCGCAACGGAUUUUAUUCUAAGUUUAUAUUGUUGGAGCAGGUUGCACGCCGCAACAGAAAUAAAUUGGGGGAUUAUGACUGCUGAAUUGACUUCAAUUAUUGAUAUUAUUUACCGGUCUUACUUCUAUUCCUGUUAUUGUUAUUAUUACUGCGUACAUGUUAAUGCAAGUGACCUGUCUUAGCCUCGUCACUACUUCGUCGAGGUUAGGCUCGAAACUUACUGAGUACAUGGGGUCGGUUUCUCUCAGACAACUUCAUUUUAUUCAGACCUUUAUUUGUAUUAUUCUAGUAGCUCGUGCACUUAUGACACCAAAUUCGAGGAUGUAUUUGGAUAAUACGUUUGUUAUGGUCUUCCGCACUUUAUUUUAGUAAUGGACUCCUGUUUAAUUUAAUUUGUUUAGAAAUGGCUAACAUUAUUCUAACGUUGGCUUGCCUAGCAAGUGAAAUGUUAGGCGUAUCACGGUCCCGAAGGUGAGAAUUUUGGGUCGUGACAAGUUGGUAUCAGAGAACUAGGUUACUUAGGUCUCACGAGUCACGAGCAAGCUUAGUAGAGUCUGAAGGAUCGGUACGGAGACGUCUGUACUUAUCUGUUAGAGGCUAUGAAGUUUAGGAACAAUAUCACUUCUUUCUUAUCCUGUCGUGCUAUUUUAUUCUAUCAUCGAUUAUUGAACCAUUCUAUUCUUAUUCUCUCGCAGAUGGUGAGAACACGUAAUACAUCUACUGACGGACAAGGACCAGAUCCCCCGGUGGCAACUAUGACCAGGGGUAGAGUCCGAGGCAGAGGCAGAGGUAGAGGUAGAGGUAGAUCUCAGUCUAAAGCUCGAGCAGCAGCACCUGUUAUAGAACCUCAUGUGCAUCUUCAGGAGGAGGUUCCAGUUCAGACUGUACCGGUUGGACCAGUUCAGGUCCCAGAAGGAUUCAUAGCUACUCCAGUGCUUCAGGACGCUCUAGUCCAUUUGGUAAGUCUUAUGGAGGGCGUGGCCCAGAAUGGUACAUUUCCAGCGGCACCAGCCGUCUCACAGGCUGGGGGAAGAGCACAGACUCCCACUACUCCCACUUUGGAGCAAAUGGCUCCCCAGUAUUAGGCUCCAGCAGGCCCGCCGGUUAGGGUAGUUCAGCCAGUUGUUGCGACAUAGGCCGGUGAUAGGCCUACCAUGUCUUCUGAGGCUUUAUUGAGGUUGGACAAGUUUACUAAGCUCUUUUCAGUUCACUUUAGUGGUACAACUUCUGAGGACCCGCAGGAUUAUCUUGACCGCUGCUAUGAGGUGUUGCAGAACAUGGGUAUAGUUGAGACUAAUGUGGUCGAUUUUGCAGUAUUUCAGAUGACGGGUUCCGCCAAGAGGUGGUGGAGAGAUUAUAUGUNNNNNNNNNNNNNNNNNNNNNNNNNNNNNNNNNNNNNNNNNNNNNNNNNNNNNNNNNNNNNNNNNNNNNNNNNNNNNNNNNNNNNNNNNNNNNNNNNNNNNNNNNNNNNNNNNNNNNNNNNNNNNNNNNNNNNNNNNNNNNNNNNNNNNNNNNNNNNNNNNNNNNNNNNNNNNNNNNNNNNNNNNNNNNNNNNNNNNNNNNNNNNNNNNNNNNNNNNNNNNNNNNNNNNNNNNNNNNNNNNNNNNNNNNNNNNNNNNNNNNNNNNNNNNNNNNNNNNNNNNNNNNNNNNNNNNNNNNNNNNNNNNNNNNNNNNNNNNNNNNNNNNNNNNNNNNNNNNNNNNNNNNNNNNNNNNNNNNNNNNNNNNNNNNNNNNNNNNNNNNNNNNNNNNNNNNNNNNNNNNNNNNNNNNNNNNNNNNNNNNNNNNNNNNNNNNNNNNNNNNNUCUAGCAGGGUAGUAUGAUUUUUACUCAGUACGAGACCCGCUUUGUGGAUAUAGCCUGUCAUGCUCUCCUUUUACUUCCUACUGAGGGAGAGAGCAUGAGGAGAUUUGUUGAUGGACUCACUCACCCUAUCAGGCUUCAGAUGGCCAAGGAGACUGAAAGUGAUAUUUUCUUUCAGGCGACUGCUAAUGUUGCUAGGAGGAUCGAGACGGUUCUUGCACAAGAGAGAAGGCAGGUGUAUGAUAAAAGACCUCGACAUUCCGAUAAUUUUAGAGGCGCCUCAUUUGGAGGCAGGGGUACUUAUGGUAGGGGUCAUCCUCCCAGGCCAUUUUAUUCAGCACUUCAGGCAUCUCACGGUGCUUCAAGGAGUCAUGGUCCUGUUAUGCCUUACUCUGGGCAACCGACAUUUAGUGCACAUCCAACUCCUAUCAGUGCACCACCGCUCCAGAGUCACUACAACGGUUAUCCGGCUCAUUCGGGUCAGCUUCAGCUUCAGCAGCCACAACAACAAGAUGGGUGUUAUGAGUGUGGGAACAUUGGUCACAUCAGGAGUUAUUAACCUAGGUUGUUGAGCAACAGAUCUCAGCAGGAUUCUCGUGCCAUCAUACCGGCACCAGUUGCUCCACCGCCCGCCCGGCUAGCUAGGGGCAGGGGUCAGACAGCUAGAGGUAGAGGUCAGGUUGUUAGACGUGGAGGCCAACCAGUUAGAGGCCGUCCCAUAGAUGUAGCUACGAGUGGUGGGGCCCAGCCCCGAUUUUAUGCUUUUCCAACUAGGCCUAAGGCCGAGUCAUCUGAUGCCGUGAUCACAGGUAUUAUUCCAGUUUUCCAUAGAGAUGCUUCCGUUUUAUUUUAUCCAGGAUCUACUUAUUCCUAUGUGUCCUCCUACUUUGCUUCAUAUUUGGUUGUGCCUCUUGAUUCUUUAAGUGCUUCUAUGCACGUGUCCACACCGGUGGAGGAUUCUAUCGAUGUUGAUCAUGUCUAUCAUUCGUGCGUGGUUACUAUUGGGAGUCUUGAGACUAGCGUGAAUCUUCUACUUCUUGAUAUUGUAGAUUUUGAUGUCAUCUUGGGUAUGGAUUGGCUGUCACCUUAUCAUGCUAUAUUGGAUUGUCAUGCCAAAACAAUGACUUUAGCUAUGCCAGGGUUACCUCGAUUAGAGUGGAAAGGAACUCCUGAUCAUUCUACCAGCAAGAUUAUUUCUUAUAUGAAGGCUCACCGUAUGGUCGAGAAGGGGUGCCUAGCCUAUUUGACUUAUAUUCGCGAUUCCAGUACGGAUGUUCCUUCUAUGGACUCAGUACCAGUUUUUCGUGAAUUUCCAGAAGUAUUUCCUGCAGAUUUGCCGGGGAUACUACCCGAUAGAGAUAUUGACCUCUGUAUUGAUUUGGCUCCGGGAACCUAGCCCAUUUCUAUUCCACCAUACCGUAUGGUCCCGUCGGAGCUAAAGGAAUUGAAAGAGCAAUUACAAGACUUGCUUGAUCAGGGAUUCAUUAGACCUAGUGUCUCGCCCUGGGGUGCACCAGUGUUAUUUGUAAAGAAGAAAGAUGGUUCAAUGCGGAUGUGUAUAGAUUAUCGGCAGUUGAACAAGAAUACUAUCAAGAACAAGUAUCCAUUGCCAAAAAUUGAUAACUUAUUCGAUCAGCUUCAGGGUGCCAAGGUAUUUUCAAAGAUUGAUUUGAGGUAUGGUUACCAUCAGUUGAAGAUUAGGGCAUCUGAUGUCCCUAAGACAGCUUUUCGGACUUGGUAUGGGCAUUACGAUUUCCUAGUGAUGUCAUUUGGGCUGACAAAUGCCCCAGCAACAUUUAUGAAUUUGAUGAAUCGGGUAUUCAAGCCCUAUUUGUUGUAUUCAUUGAUGAUAUCUUGAUUUACUCAAGCAGGCGAGAGGAGCAUGAGCAACAUCUUCAGAGUAUGCUUCAGACUUUGAAAAAUAAUUAGUUAUAUGCCAAAUUUUCAAAAUGUGAAUUUUGGUUAGACUCAGUUACCUUUUGGGGGUAUGUUGUAUCGGUAUAAGGCAUAAAAGUGGAUCCUAAGAAGAUUGAGGUUGUUCAGAAUUGGCCUAGCCCUACUUCAGCUACAGAGAUCCGGAGUUUCCUGGGUUUGGCAGGUUAUUAUCACCGGUUUGUGGAGGGUUUUUCAUCUAUAGCAUCUCCAUUGACCAAAUUAACCCAGAAAGGUGCCCCAUUCAGAUGGUCAGACGAGUGUGAGUUGAGUUUUUAGAAGCUCAAGACCUUUUUGACUACAACGCCAGUGUUGGUAUUACCUACAGGUUCAGGAUCGUAUACGGUAUAUUGUGAUGCAUCUCGCAUUGGGCUUGGUGCAGUAUUGAUGCAAGAUGGCUGUGUGAUUGCAUAUGCAUCGCGGCAGUUGAAAGUUCACGAGAAGAAUUAUCAUGUUCAUGACUUAAAAUUGGCAGCCAUUGUUCAUGCACUGAAGAUUUGGAGGCAUUACCUUUACGGUGUCUCGUGUGAGGUAUUUACUGAUCAUCGUAGCUUACAAUAUCUGUUCAAACAAAAAUAUCUCGAUUUGAGGCAGAGAAGAUGGUUGGAGUUGUUGAAAGACUAUAAUAUCACCAUUUUGUAUCACCCCGGAAAGGCCAAUGUGGUGGCCGAUGCUUUGAGUAGAAUGGUUGUGAGUAUGGGCAGCCUUGCGUAUAUUUCGGUUGGUAAGAGGUCGUUAGUUACAGAUGUUUAGACUUUGGCCAAUCAGUUCGUGAGGUUAGACGUUUCAGAGCCCAGUAGAGUUCUAGCUAGCACAGCCGCUCGGUCUUCUUUAUAUGAGCGCAUCAGGGAGCGGCAGUAUGAUGAUCUUCAUAUGCUUGUCCUUAAGGACACGAUGCGGCACGGUGAUGCCAAACAUGUUGUUGUGGGGGAAGAUGGAGUUCUGCGAAUGCAUGGUCGUAUUUGUGUGCCUAAUAUGGAUGGGCUUCGUGAAUUAAUUCUUGAGGAGGCACACAGUUCCAGGUAUUCUAUUUAUCCAGGUGCCGCCAAAAUAUAUCAAGAUUUACGACAAUAUUAUUGGUCGAGGAGAAUGAAGACAGAUAGUUGCAUAUGUAACUCGGUGUCUAAAUUAUCAGCAAGUCAAGUACGAGCAUCAAAGACCUGGUGGUUUGCUUUAGAAGUUAGAAAUUCCUGAGUGGAAGUGGGAGCGUAUCACUAUGGAUUUUGUUCUUGUGCUUCCACGGACUCAGAGAAAGUUCAAUGCAGUUUGGGUCAUUAUGGACAGGUUGACCAAGUCAGCACAUUUCAUUCUAGUAGUUGUUACCUAUUCUUCAGAGCGAUUAGCGGAGAUUUACAUCUGUGGGAUUAUACGCCUUCACGGUGUGCCCGUGUCUAUCAUAUCCGAUCGAGGUACGCAGUUCACCUCUCACUUCUAGAGGGUUGUACAAUGUGAUUUAGACACGCGGAUUGAGUUGAGUACAUCAUUUUAUCCACAGAUAGACGGACAGUCAGAGCGCAUUAUUCAGAUAUUGGAAGAUAUGCUUCGCGCUUGUGUUAUAGACUUUGGAGGUUCUUGGGAUCAGUUCUUGUCACUUGUGGAGUUUUCCUAUAAUAACAGCUACUAGUCGAGCAUUCAGAUGGCUUUGUAUGAAGCAUUAUACGGGAGGCGAUGUCGUUCGCCAGUUGGCUGGUUUGAACCAGUAGAGGCUCGGUUGUUGGGUACCGAUUUGGUACAGGAUGCCUUGUAAUGACCUGACCGGUCGUUUUGAGCAUUUACACUUCGCUCGAUUGUUUGAGGGCAUGAGUAGCUCCUUAUGAUGUAAUAUAACUUAUGCGAAUCGUCAGNNNNNNNNNNNNNNNNNNNNNNNNNCCUUGGAUAAGGUCAAGAUUAUUCAGGAUCGACUUCGCACAGCUCAGUCUAGGCAAAAGAGUUAUGUCGACCGUAAAGUUCGUGAUAUUGCAUUCAUGGCAGGAGAAAGAGUAUUGCUCCGGGUUUCACCUAUGAAAGGUGUAAUGAGAUUCGGAAAGAAGGGCAAGUUGAGCCCUAGGUAUAUCGGACCCUUUGAAAUUCUUGAACGGGUGGGUGAAGUAGCCUACAGGCUUGCACUAUCACCUAGUUUAUCAGCAGUUUAUCCGGUGUUACAUGUGUCUAUGCUCUAGAAAUAUCAUGGUGAUCUGUCUCAUGUAUUAGAUUUCAGCUCAGUCCAAUUGGACAAAGAUUUGAUUUAUGAGGAGGAGCUGGUAGCUAUUCUAGGUCAGCUGGUCCGACAAUUGAGGUCUAAGAGUUAUCCUUCAGUUCGGGUUCAAUGGAGAGGUCAGCCAGUAGAAGCAUCUACCUGGGAGUCCGAGUCGGACAUGCAGAGAUAUCCACACCUUUUCACCAGCUCAGGUAAUUUUCUAAUUCCGUUUGAGGACGAACGUUUGUUUUAGAGGUGGAGAAUGUGAUGACCCAAAAUAUCAUAUUUAAUUUAAACAUUCAUUUAUGUGUUCUAAGACCUCAAAAAGUACUAUUUAUCAUUCCUCGACUUGCGUGCACAGUCCGUAUAAUUUUUGGGAAAGUUUUUAUGUAAAACAUUAAUUAAAAUGUGAAAUAGUGCUUCAAAACUCAUCCAAGUUGACUUUGGUCAACAUUUUGAGCAAAUGAACUCGGAUCAGUAUUUUAACAACUCCGGUAGGUUCAUAUCGUGAUUUGGGACUUGGGCGUAUGCCCAGAAUUAAAUUCGGAGGUUCGUAGCUCAAAUUAUUGCCAUUUAACGAAAACUAGAAAUCUAAAGGCUAAAAAAUUCUAAAGUUUGACCGCGGAGUUGACUUUAUUGAUAUCAAGGCCGGAAUCCAAUUUUGAAAAUUGAAAUAGGUCCGUUAUGUCAUUUAUGACUUGUGUGCAAAAUUUGAGGUCAAUCGAACUUGAUUUGAUAGGUUUCGGCGUUGAAUGUAGAAGUUCAAAGUUCUUAGUUUUAUUAAGCUUGCAUUGGGGGUAUAAUUCAUAGUUUUAGCGUUGUUUGAUGUGAUUUGAGGUUUUGACUAAGUUCGUAUAAUGUUUUAGGACUGGUUGGUGUAUUUAGUUGAGGUCCCAGGGGGCUCUGGUGAGUUUCAGAAGGUUAACGGAUCGAAAUUUGGACUUAAACUGUUGCUGGAAAUUUUAGUCUUUUGGUGCAAUUGCACCUGCAGAAUUUAGCUCGCAGGUUUGGGCUGAGGUCGAGGUCAAGGUCGCGACCAGGCAUGGGUCGAGGUCGAGGUCGCGACCAGGCAUGGGCCGAGGUCAAGUUUGCGACCAGGCAUGGGCCGAGGUCGAGGUCGUGACCAGGCAUGGGCCGAUGUCGCGACCAGGCAUGGGCCGAGGUCGAGGUCGCGACCAAGCAUGGGUCGAGGUCGAGGUCGCGACCAAGCAUGGGCCGAGGUUGAGGUCGAAGAAGCGAGCAGUUGAGGCCGAGGUCGCGACCAGACAUGAGUUGAGGCCAAGGUUGCAGUAGCGAUUAGACAUGAGUUGAGGCCGAGGUCGAAGAAGCGAAAAGCCCUGGACAGAACAUAUAAAUUCGGGGGUUGACCAUAUUUACCCAUUUUUGGAUUUUAAGAGCUCGGGUGAGGCAAUUUUCAGGAGAUUUUUCAAGGAAAACAUUGGAGUAAGUGUUCCUUAUCCUAUAUUGAUUAUAAUUCAUGAUUCCAUACUCAUUUACAUCAUGAAUCCGUGAAUUUAUGGAAGAAAAAUCAGAUUUAUAUUUAUAAAAUCUUUCAAAAACGAAAUCUAAGAUUUGAAGGUCCAUUUGACAUCGGAAUUUGAUAAUUUUUAUAUAGUUGAACUCGUAUCAGAACGGGUGUUCGUAUUUUGUAAGUUUUUUCGGGAUUCGAGAUGCGGGUCCUACUGUCAAUAUUUUUUAAAAUAAAUUUCGGAUUUUAAUCCAGAAAAUUAAUAAAUUCAUAUGGAAUUAUUUUCUAUGAUUCGUGUUGAGUAUAUUGAAUUGUUUGUGACUAGAUUUGAAGCUUUCGGACACGAAUUCGCGAGGAAAAGGUGUAUUGAAAUCUUGAAAUUUGGUUUUGAAGCGAGGUGAGUGUCGUGGUUAACCUUGACUUGAGGGAAUAGAACCCUUGAAUUAUUUGUUACGUUAAUUUCAUGUGUAACAACGUAUAGGCGAGGUGACGAGUGCCUAUACGUUGUCAAAUUGAUUAUUUGCCUAUUUAUCAGAAAAAUUAUAAAUUAAUUUAAAUCAUGAAUUAAUUAUUAUAUUAAUUAUUUCUCUCAUAUUCCUUGUCCAAUAUUAUGUCUUGAAUUCAUGCUAUAAUUGCUGCAUGCUUAUUUGACUUAUGUGUCUCAAUUGCUACUUGACAUUUAGCAUAUUAAAUAUUAAAUUGCCUAUUUUUUCCCUGAUUUUCACAAUUAAUUGCUACAUGUCAUUAUUUGUUUCAUAAAUAAAUUAUAAUUAUUGUAUGCCUUGUUUCUUAAUAAUUUCUUAUUGAACGUGGUAUUUAUUGUAGUAUUUUUAUUACAUUUAAGAGUUGUUAAAUUAUAUUGCUGGAGCGGGUUGCACGCCGCAACAGAAAUAAAAAUGAAUAUAUUGGGGGAUCGGGUUGCACGUCGCAACAGAUUUAUUUAAAGUUUAUAUUGUUGGAGCGGGUUGCACGCUGCAACGGAAUUUAAUUGAAAAGUUAUAUUAUUGGAUCGGGUUGCACGCCGCAACGAAAAUAAAUUGGGGGAUUAUGACUGUUGAAUUGACUUCAAUUAUUGAUAUUAUUUACCGGUCUUACUUCUAUUCCUGUUAUUGUUAUUAUUACUGCGUACAUGUUAAUGCAAGUGACCUGUCUUAGCCUCGUCACUACUUCGUCGAGGUUAGGUUCGAAACUUACUGAGUACAUGUGGUCGGUUUUACCCAUACUACACUCUACACUUAUUAUGCAGAUAUCGGAGUUGGUCCAGCGGCGUACAAUAGAUUUGCUCGGAUUCAGCUAUUCGCAGGAGACUUGAGGUAUAACUGCAUGACGUUCGUAGUUCUGAAGUCCCCUUCCACUUUAUCGUAGCUGUAUAUUUCUCUCAAACAGCUUCAUUUUAUUCAGACCUUUAUUUGUAUUAUUCUAAUAGCUCGUGCACUUGUGACACCAGAUUCGGGGAUGUAUUUGGAUAAUUCGUUUGUUAUGGUCUUCCGCACUUUAUUUCAGUAAUGGAUUUCUAUUUAAUUUAAUUUAUUUAGAAAUGGCUAAGAUUAUUCUAACGUUGGCUUGCCUAGCAAGUGAAAUGUUAGGCGCCAUCACGGUCCCGAAGGUGGAAAUUUCGGGUCGUGACAGUCCUUUACUUCAUGUGUGUAGUGUAAAUGUUAAGGACAUAAUGUCCUUAACUUAUAAAUACACAUUCUGUUGUUAAACUUUAGGACCUCAUGUCCUUAACUUCAUAUGUGUAGUGUAAAUAUUAAGUACACGGUGUUCUUAACUUUAUGUGUGCAAUGUAAAUAUUAAGGACAUAUUGUCCUUAACUUUAUGAGUGUUGUGUAAAUAUUAAGGACAUGGUGUCCUUAACUUCAUGAAUGCCGUGUAAAUAUUAAGGACAAAGUGUCCUGUAUUUGUACCUUCCGUUGUUAAACUUUAGGACAUCAUAUCCUUAACUUCAUAUGUGCAGUGUAAAUGUUAAGGACAUGCGUUCUUAACUUCAUAUGUGCCGUGUAAAUGUUAAGGACACCACGUCCUUAAUAUUUACACAACACUCAUGAAGAAAGAGUAAAAUAUCUUUUCGUAUUAAUUUUAAUAGAGUAGUGGCUAUUUUUGCUCACCAUUAAAAAUACUGGAUAAAAACUAAAUACCAUGUUAAAAAGUGGCUAUCCCACGCCAUUUCUAACCUAGUCCAUCCCAUGAAGUCCAAUGGGUUUCUGUGCUCUUUAUGUAUGUCUCCCAAGAGAGGCCCAGCAAAUAGUCUGGAAUCAAGCCCAACAAAUUCAAGAACACUAUUACAUGUCGUCUUGGCCCAAAAUUCUCAGAUCAUCAUCAUUGCAACGCCGCGCUUUAUCUCCUCUUCUGCAACUCUCUCUCUCUCUCUCUCUCUCUCUCUCUCUCUCUCAGUCGCACUAACUCCAUGGGCUCAGCUUCUGCACUCUCUCUAUGCUCUCACUCAACGGUAAACCCAUUCUCUACCUUCUACCUCAUCCAUUUACUAUAAAUAAACUAAAUUCUCAAACAAAAAUUAAAAUCUAAUUUCCCCUCUCUUUUUUUGUGGUAAAUUUUAGGUGAAUUUUGAAUUUCAUCGGAGAAAACUAGGGUUUGGAAGGGACCAAGCAUUGAACAGCUCGUACAGCAGCUACGUUUUGCUUCCUAUAUCGCCGUCACUGUAUUUUAGUAGUAGUUGUAGUAGAAGUAAAUGCUUGCAAUUGAAACGGGUAAUUGUUCGAGCUUCCUCGUCUAGUAGUACCGGUUCGAGACGUUCGUCGAGUUCUCGGAGAGUUUACAAGGAAUCACAAGCUCAAGCGCCAACAUUACCUGUUGAUCAAAUUGCUUCUUUUGUUGUGCCCGCCGGUGCUUUUGUGGUUAUCUCUUUUGGUAUUCACAUUUUGCCUUCUUUUUAUCUUUUUUUGUACUGGAUUUAGUGUUUGCUAAUCUUUUACGAAGACUACUGGAUUGAAGCGGAAUGGAUAUAGAAGAUGAGUUUUUACACUCAGUGUAGAUUUUUGAUCAGGUAUAGUAAUAUUUCAUGAAUAGAAGCAUCCAGAGGAUCCAGAAACUGAUAACAAAAGAGAUAAAUCUCCCUGCAAAACAUACAACCAUAUCCACCGAAAUACUCAUGGAGCUUAGAAAAUCAAGAAAUAAAAUAGGAUUAUCUACAUCAAAAUGGUUCCCUCAAACAAAAUAUUUAAGCAAACAUCUUUUACGUCAACUAUCAAUGUAGUUUAACCUGUGAUUGUAGGUUACUUACCUUUUUACCAAUUAAUAUUUUGCGUAGAGAUUUGCUUGGAUAAUCUAAUAAGUGACCUGGUUGUAUAAAUAUCUUUUAAUCCAUCAAUUUAACGAACUUAAACUCUUUACACGAGUAGUUUGCGUUUUGUGUACUUUUAGCUUUAGUUAAUACUAGUAAGUAUACCAAGAAUCACAAUUCAAAGAAGUUUACAUAUAGGUCAUUAAGAUGAGAUGUAUCUAUUGUUUCUGAGAGUAUGAAUAUCUUUUAACUUAAUUUUUUAAUAGGGUCUCUCUCUCACUGCCUUUUACUUUCAAUCUAACUUUUACACCUUACAACUUUGUUGAAAUACUGUCGGUGUAGCGGAUGCCGUAAUGAGAAUUGAGAAGAAUUGGAAAAAAUUUCAAAGGAAGAUUGCUAUUGGAUUUUUGAAGCAGGAUUAAAAAUAAUAAGCUCAAGUGUAUGUUUUCCAUUGUUUAGGUGUUUAUUAUUGUCUUUUUAUGUUCUGUUUAAUUUCUUGAGAUCACAAUUCCAUCUUUUCGCAUCAGCUUAAACUCAAUAUCAAUGUACCUUAUAACUUUUGCAAACUAAAUAAAAUUUGCUCGUUGUUGUUCUUGCAUUCUUGCUUUUUUCCUCUUCGCCAUGCCAAAUUAGUGGUCUAGGAAAGGCUUUAAUAUUUAGGGUAGGGGGAAAAUGUAAAUGGUGUUCCAAUUUAGGCAGAUGCUGGAGAUUGGCACUAGUCAAGGAAAUAAGUGCAAACUUUUGAGACUAGGGUUCAAAUCUCAGCAGAGACAACACUGAGUGAUUUCUUCCAAUCUGGCUAUGCCUUAGUGGAUAGAGUUACUCAGUACAUGUGCUGAUAGAAGGUGAUAGGUACCCAAUUGAAUAGUCGGUGUGUGCACAAGCUAGCCCAAACACCAUCAUUAUCCCAGUGAAAUCUUUACCAUUCUCCCAAAAGAAAAAACAAUCAAUGAAUGCUUGAAUAGGUCAGGCUUCAUGCGGUAUCCAAAAAGAAAGGAAGGCUUUCAUGAGGUCUUGUGAGAAACUUUUCUACUUAAUAAUGAAGUUUCAAAUUAUCUGAGUGCUUGGCACUAUGGUCAGACUCAGUAGUUCACCUAUGAAGCUAAAGUCUUUAAAGCAGUACAUCCUGCGGUAAAUCACCCUCUUUUUAUUAAGUUGUUUAUGAUUAAGAUUUAAGAAAAUAAGUGAACAGAAAAGAGCUUGUAAUUGUCUUCGCAUUUAGGCUCACAUUUAGAACUUAGAAGUGCAGCACGUGUGUUCAAACUCAAACUUACAGUCAUUAAUUCCAGUUAGCUCGUUUUUGGUGUCCCAGCUUCUAUUUUUGGUGUCUAUGGCUAGAAAGGAAUAGCAGAUGCUUCGAAGGAAACUCUUCUUCUAUUCAUGCUUUGAAGUAUUGAUGCCUUACAAUACUUUUUGCUGGAGUAAACAUCACACUGUAAAUGUUUUUGAUCAGCUUUUUGACUUUAUUAGCUCUUUAGAAGGCAUAUAGGAUGAUCACUGUUUCAGGAGCUAUUGCUUCUUUUUUUCUAUUCUUUUACUUGCAAUUCUCAGCAUCUACUGGGUGCAUUUUUAAUUAAUACAUCUUACUUGAUCAAAAAAAUUCCAGUUAGCUUGUUACAGCAAAAUAGGAUUGCCGUUUUCAUUUUUUAGGACUUUGUAUCAUUUUAAAUGUUUCAGUGCAUUUAUUCCCAUGAAUGGAUUGUGUACUUUGACAUUUUGACCUACCUCUUAUUUAGUUGGCAAUCUGUUGCAACCAUUUAAUUGUUUCUUUUUCUUAAUUAUCUAAUAUGGGUUAGCCAUUGGAAAAUGUAUAUCCCCUCUAAGUCAGCGAUUUCUCUUACAGCUUUUGAGGAAUAGAUGAUGCAACAGCUUCACUAAUUCAUUCUUUGAACUAACUCUUUUCUUGUAAUGAGGCUUGCUCAAGAUGACCUUUAAGUCUGGUUGUCAUCUUUUAGUUGUCAACUAUAGUUUUAUUCUUGAUGGGAUUGCCGUUAGUUCAAAAAAAUUCCAGUUAGCUCGUUACAGCGAAAUAGGAUUGCCGUUUUCAUUUUUUAGCACUUUGUAUCAUUUUAAAUAUUUCGGUGCGUUUAUUCCCAUGAAUGGAUUGUGUACUUUGACAUUUUGACCCGCCUCUUAUUUAGUUGGCAAUCUGUUGCAGUCAUUUAAUUGUUUCUUUUUCUUAAUUAUCUAAUAUAGGUUAGCCAUUGGAAAAUGUAUAUCCCCUCUAAGUCAGCGAUUUCUCUUACAGCUUUUGAGGAAUAGAUGAUGCAACAGCUUCAUUAAUUCAUUCCUUGAACUAACUCUUUUGUUAUAAUGAGGCUUGCUCAAGAUGACCUUAAGUCUGGUUGUCAUCUUUUAGUUGUCAACUUUAGUUCUAUUCUUGACGGACAUGUCGUGUGUGAUGACUUGUCCCACAUUUUAUGCAGUCUUCAUUUGACUGUCUCCUGAAAGUCAAGAGAAUCAGGAAGGGGAGUAUUCUUCUUAAUUAUGUAAUUGCUAGAAAUUAAUAGAACUUUUAAAUUUUGUUAAAGCUAUUAGAGAAAGCGUCUUUAUUUAUCUUUAUAUCUACACAUGUCCCCUCACUUGCGGGACUAGCUCUUUUCCAAGAGCCAAGUACAUGAAAAUUCAUUGUGAUACAAGUGGUGGUGAAACUUGAACUCAGGACCUUUGCCUGCUCUAAUAUAAUGUUGAACCAUAUAAUCACUUCAUCUAUAGUCCAUACCCUCAAUAAUGUGGAAUUCUUACCAGAAUCAUUAGUAAUUGUGAAAAAUAUUCUUAAUGAUAAUGUCAUAAUAUUUUAAGAAUUCCAAAAGCUAGAAAAUCUAAUGUAAUGUAGGCUAAACAUCCUAUAUAAGGAGCCAUGUUGUGUUCUGUUAAGAAUUAUUUUUUCCAAAGAUUUCUUCUUUUUCCCUUUUCAAGUGUUACAUAUCUUAGCAAGGGCUUAAAUAAUUUCUGCCUAUCGACGUGUCGCAGUAUACGGCCAGCCCGACCGACAUUCCUUUUUUUUUUGUGUGUGUUUUACUAAUCGUGCCUCUUUCUUAUUGAUCCUUCUGGUGUCACUUUCUUUUUGAUAGCUGUUCUGGUGUUAUCGUGUCUUUCUGAUGGCACCACAACUUUUCUAGUACUUUAUAGGUUACUAUUUAGUGCCAGUUCGAGUUGCAUCAUUGAUGUCCUAGAGAUUUACCUGACCUUAUUUCUUUUUCGUAGACAGUAAUUCCUUGUCAUGCGUGCUGCAAGAAGCACUUUCUUUCGCUAUGCAAUUACUAGUAACUUUUCAGGAGAAAAAAAUUCCACCACUGCCUUCUCAUUUUGGUGAUCGUUUUCUACUGACAGGACAUUCAGCAACUAUUUCCUCCAGUGACUUUUUGGUAUUUCUUCUUGAGAAAUAUCAAGUUAUUUCACCAUUUUGAAUUUGAAGAGGCAUGUUUAAGUCGAGAGAAUCGUUUAAAAUAUUGUUAAUUUUUUUAGUGAUUAUGUUAUUCUUGAAAGUCAAGUGAAUCAAUACUAAUAUUGUCUAAGAUUUUCUUAAUCAUUAUGUUAUAUUAAUUAGAAUCCUAAAGUUAGUAAACUUCCUUCUUAAUGUUUUUUAUGGUUUAAACUUCCUAAAUCUUACUUAAUAUACCUCAACACAUUUAGAUAAGGAGUUCUCUUAUAUGCGGUUAACCUUUGAUUUCAAAAAGAGUUUAUUUCUCCUUUUUUUACACCGUCUCCGAGGGUUUACUGGAAAUAACCUCCCUAUCUUCAUAAGGUAGGGGUAAGGUCUGCGUACAUACUAUUCUCCCCAGAUCCCACUUGUGGGAUUACGAUGGGUUUGUUGUUGUUGUUGUUGUUUUUUACACUGUCAAAUUCUUAUAAACAAUUCAUCAAGCACUUAUUUUAUUGCUUCUAAUUAAUUCUAGCUUUUAGAGUUUUUUACAUUCUCAACUUUAUCAAAAAAGAGGUCUACAUUCCCAAGAGCUCUUUCUACAACAACAAUAACAACAAACCCAAUCUAAUCCCACAAGUGGGGUUUGGGGAGGUUAGUGUGUACUCAGACCGUACCUCUUCUUCAAAAAAGAAUUGAUGAAGCUGCUUAACUCUGCAUCUUCAGAAAGAAUAAAGUUCUUAGUUCUACCACAUUGUUUCACUGGUUCCACCAUUGACUAUAGGCCCUUGCCAUCUUCUAUAGCUACUCCUUUCUCUUUGUACUUGUUACAAGUAGUAUCCUUUGAUUCCUUUCUACUUUAGCCGGUGAUUUCUUUUCUGGAGGUUGAGUCCUUGUAUGAACUUCGCAGUUUGACUGAAGAAUAUUUCUACCUAUAACUGUGACCAGAAAUAGUAAUCUUAAAUAAAAGGAAGAUUAUCUAUAUUGUGCUAAUCUAUGUGUUCAGUUGACAGUUUUGUGGAAGCUGGUGGAGAAAAUUCUUUUACCCAAACCAGCCAAGACUUCAUCAGAAGAAAGCAAAUUUACUCAAGGAGUAAAUUGGUUCGUCGUUCCUGGGACAAACUUGUUACCUGGUUUUGGUGAAAAGAUUGAAAGAGAAUCCAAGCUAAGGCUUAAUGAGUUUGCUAAAGAGCUUAGAUCUUUCAGCAUUGUUGACAUGUCAGGUAAAAUUGCACUCAGUUGCUGACUCAGCUGCUUCACAUAUUAAAAUUGGUGUUCAAACUAUGCUAAGUGCUGUCAUAAAUAGAUAUCUACUUUUUUUUUGAAAAGCUUAGAUCAGGAACUUUAAUUGUUUAUGGUUUUCAGGAAAGUGAUGAUGCCUGAAAAAGAUUUGCCUAAACUUGUUAAUUUUUAGCACCCACCCCACCCCUCAAAAGAAAACAACAAAUACCAAAGAUGUUGUGUUUUCUACCUUGCUUUGUGAUAAAACAUGUUUUGCUUACUGAUAGUGUCUUAAGAAAAUAUCCUAGACUUGUUGCAAUUUUAAGCUCCCCCCCCCCCCCCCAAAACACCCACAACCCUAAGCGCAAGACACCAUGAUCAAAUCUUUGCUGCAUUUUCUUUGUUUUGUGACUAGACAUGGUUUACUUACUGAUUAAGGAAUUAUAAUUUUCAAGUUGCUUGGNNNNNNNNNNNNNNNNNNNNNNNNNAACCAAUGGGUAAUCAAUGGAUAACUAAUGAGUUUAACUUUUACAUUUGUAAAGUCUCAAAUUGGGGUUCCUCAAGUUUGGAACACUAGGAAUUCUCUCAAAAGUGUUCAUAUUCAAGAAGUCAUGGAUAAUAUGGUUAUCCAUAUUAUCCGUCGGUUAACCCGUUUUUUAUCCGUAUUAAACAUGGGUCGGGUCGGAUAAUUUAUCCGUUUUUCAUUACCCGUUUCGACCCGAACCAUAUCCAAUCCGACCCGCCCGUUUGCCACUCCUGUUUGCACCCAUAUUUUCUAUUGUACUUCUUAUGUGUCUCUAGGCACUUCAGGAUCAACAUGAAUAUUUGGUAUUUAUGGUUGUGCAUAUGUUACCAUAUAUCGUGUUAGUCUGAGUCAGAGUUUUUUGCAUUCCCUGAGUUUGUUGGUCUUAAGGAAAAGCAUCAAACUGAGGCCGUUAGCAGAUUUGUUUCUCUCAAGUCCAGAAAUUUCAUGCUUAGAAGCUGCUAAUUGGUUAUCUGAAGCAGUUUUCGUUUCUCUAAUUAUUACUUUAUGCAAACAACUUGUUAGAGAAUAUAUCAGUUAACCCGCAAGUCUUUCUCUUCCAGAUUGUCAUUCAUGAGCUGUUCAAUUGUAAUAUUCUGAAGUUCAUUAAUAAAAAUUUACAUUCACAGUGUCUAUGUGAUAUACUGGCAAACAACUCUGGUAUUCAAAAGCUCCAGCUAAACAGCACCGGCCUAGGAGAUGAGGUUAGCAUAUGCUUUUAGUAUUUAAAGUCCAGUUGCUAUAUAUUUUCUGCUUUAAGAUCAAUUAUCGCUAAAAAUGUUUUUGGCAAUGGUUUAUCUGGACUUUGCAGGGAGCGAAAGCUAUUGGUGAAAUGCUGAAAAAAAAUUCAACUUUGCGUGUAGUUGAACUAAACAAUAAUCAGAUUGACUAUUCUGUAUGUUUCUUUAAGCAGAACUUGUAAUUUGUAUUGUUCUAAUUUUUUACUAUCUCUAUUUCUGAAGGAAAACCUGUUUGAUUUGAAUAUGGAGAUAGGGAUUUUCAGGUCUUGCUGGAUCACUUCUUGAGAAUAAAAGUUUACAAUCGUUACAUCUCAAGUGAGCAAAAUUUCUUCCGCUAUGUUUUUGUCUUUGCUUGUCCAUUUGUCAUAUGUCCAAUUUUAGCAGUUUCCUAUUUGUUUUUGGGUUAUGGGGGGUGGGAUGAGGGAUUUGAAUUGUGAAGACACAUUAACUUUUGUUAUUUUUUUUAAUUUUCCCUUAUAUCCUUCAAUUUAUGUGCUUCAAUUUACUGUUCAGUGGCAACUAUGGUGGUGCGUUAGGGGCUGCAGCUUUGGCUAAAGGCCUGGAGGGCAAUAAAUCUUUGAGGGUACGUUUCUGAUCAAUUCCUCCGUCCCACACGCACCUCCUUACCCUUUUCAGUUUCUUUUUUUUCUUUUGACCUGGCAAAUUAUUGAGCUUCUCGUAACCUUGAUAUCUUGCUUCUGUCUCCUUGGACAAUUUGUUGGUAUUUUGUGAAUUUUACUCUCUGCUCUCAUGUUUCAAUUUGAUCGCUUAGAAGAGCUGUUUUCAAAAUUUUCAAUAGCUACCAUUUAAUUUUCUCUGUGACUGCUGACACUAGGAUAGCAUGCUAAUGCGCUUAAUGUCAUUAAAGAAACUUUCUCUGUUUACCUAUGGGAGCACUAUAUAUCCUAAAAACCCUUAUUUCUUCAACUAUGCUUGAAAUGUUUCUGUAUGUGCAGGAACUUUAUUUGCAAGGGAACUCUAUUGGUGAUGAAGGAGUACGGGCAUUAAUUUCUGGCCUAUCUUCUCGUAAAGGUUUGCUUAUGAUGUAUAAUUAACCAUUCUUUACCAUAUUCGUGUUGUGUCUUGUGCAUAUUUGUGGAGUUACAUGCGUCACCAUUAUAUGUCUGCAGGGAAACUUGUCUUACUUGACAUGGCCAACAACUCAAUUACUGCUAGAGGUGCAUUUCACGUAGCAGAAUAUGCCAAAAAAAGCAAAAGCUUACUAUGGUUGAACCUCUAUAUGAAUGACAUCAAAGAUGAGGUAAUUGAAUCAUUUAGAACUUUCACAUGUUCUUUUGGGGAAGGUUAACGGUUGAUUGAUAGAGAAAAACAUGAAGAGUAUGACUUGGUUGGAGCUGAAUGUGAUAGUUGUUCAUUAUUGAAAGCAGAGCAUAGGGUUAGAUCGCGUGGUCGAGAAAAAACUUAAUGGUUCCAAACAUUAAAGAAGAUAAUUUCCGACUGGGUUUUAUCACGUUGGGAUAGCCAAAAGAAAAUUAGAAGGCUUGCUUGGCCCAUGGUAGUAACUGGAAGAUGUUGAAUGAACUAAGGUUUUUUUUAUUUUUAUGUGAGCGGGUCCGGACUUCAAUCUCGAUAUGCAUUGACUUUUCCUUUUUUCCUCCCCAAUUGAUAUCCGUCAGGGAGCUGAAAAAAUUGCAGAAGCUUUGAAGGAGAACCGCUCAAUAACUAACAUAGAUCUAGUAAGCUGUUGUUUCUUUUCUAUUUUAUUUAAUAUUUCUUGUUUGUUCAGGGAGGAGGUUGUUGUUUCUUAGUCAAGCAUUAUUUUCAUAGUGGUAUUUGCAUACCUUUGAUGACUGAAGUUCUGUGAAAAUUUUACAGGGGGGCAAUGACAUACAUUCUAAGGGUAUCAGUGCCUUAGCAGAAGUCCUGAAAGAUAAUUCUGUCAUUACCUCAGUGAGUUUCAUCAAAAUGUUUCCUUUUACUGAUGUCUCGAAAAAGAGAUACUUAAAAUUUCUUACACACAGUUAGAGCUUGGUUACAACCCCAUUGGACCAGAGGGGGCGAAGGCAUUAGCAGAGGUCCUCAAGUUUCAUGGAAAUGUGAAAGAUCUCAUGCUUGGUUGGUGUCAGGUAAUUGAUGGAUUGUUUCAUAUAAGCUCUCUUUAUUCAACUCUUUUGGCAUGCUUACCUAAUUUUAUUACAGAUUGGAGCCAAAGGUGCGGAGGAAAUUGCUGACAUGUUAAAGUACAAUAGUACCAUCUCUACUCUAGACUUGCGAGCCAAUGGACUUAGAGACGAGGUUUUAAUUAGUAGUUUAUAGUUCAUUCAUCCUGCGGCAAUCUUCAAUUUCCCUCGAAGUACAAUAACUAUCUCCUUUUCAGGGUGCAAUCUGCCUUGCUCGGAGUUUAAAGGUGGUCAAUGAAGCUUUGACAACACUCAAUUUAGGGUUCAAUGAAAUUAGAGUAUGUAACUCCUUUUUAGUACAGCCUCCUGUCUCGAUAAACUUUAGCUUCUUGCAAACUUAGUCUCUCGUGUGCACAGGAUGAAGGAGCUUUCUCCAUCGCUCAAGCACUGAAGGCAAAUGAAGAUGUAAGACUCACAUCCAUAAAUCUUACCAGCAACUUCCUCACCAAACUAGGGCAGGUAUCUUCGUAUGACACCCUAUUUUAUUCUCAUCUUCAGCUGUUUUACACAAUUUUUAGAUCCUCAUAAUAUCUGGAUGGAUUUCCAAAUUUCAGACAGCUCUCACAGAUGCAAGAGACCAUGUGUUUGAGAUGACUGAGAAGGAGCUUGCUGUUAUGUUCUAAAAUACUACACUCCUUUGAUCAAAUAUAUUUUUCUCCUACUUUCUAUUCUUGAGGUUGGGGCAUGGGUGCAUUGGAGGAUUUUGUCAGUCUUUUUUUCUUUUUAGGGAAUAGAAUCACAGCCCACCAUGAUAUUCUUUCCACUUGUGUGGAUCAAGAGUCACCCUUAGUUCCCUUUUGUGUCUGAAUUCUUGAGUGGUGGGUAAGGGUGGGAAUUUUGGUAUUGAGCUAUGUACUGAUAUUGUCAAAGAAUUCUUCUUUUAGUCUUCUCAUUUGAUAAUGUAAGUGGCAUGUAUACGACAAUUCUUCAAUAAUAAUUGUUAGGUUAUUGUAAUACAUAACAGAUUCAACGAUGUAUUCCUAUUGGGAACUUCAUUUUUUUUUUUGGUUGUUUUUUUUAGUAUUAAGAUUCAUUUUUAAGCUCUUUAUGUUGUUUUUGGUUCCCUAUCUUUGAGCCUAUUCGAUGGUAAAGGACGAAACAAGCUACCUUAUAGUCAUUCAACUUUUCUGAAGCAUUCUGAUAAAUGUGCUGCGUUCUAUUGCUUAUCCUUCACCUUGAAAUAAUAGGGGACAGGAAAAACCAAGAAUAAAGAAAAAGAAAGGGAAUUGUACUUAAAAUUCAUACCGUUAAGGGUUAAAAAAAAAUCUUGAAGUAAAUGCAUAACACAUACUUGGAUACAAUCCAGAAACUGCUUGUUCUGGAUUUAAUUGGCAUCUUGUACGUUGAGCUUGUAAAGUUUUCAAAUUGGAAUUUUGUGGGAUAAGGUGGACAGCUGGGGUUUUCAGAAUCUGCAAGGCAGAGUAUUCAGUGGAUAACUAUUCAAGCUUACUUGGAACAGAGUGUUUUCAGGACAGAGCUGAACAACACGAAAUGUGGCUAAGCUCUCUAAAUGACAUAUCUGCAUGAGCAUCACCAGAUUUUUUGGUGUGCGAGUAACUACUUCCAGAGAGUAAGGGGAGAAGACAUCAGAGAACCCUACACAUAUACAAGUUCGCAAUUCAAAGCCAAAUGGCAAAGGGUUAUGCACGAGCUAAAGACAUAUUCAAGAUUUUAAUUAAAUAUUAGAACUCGCCAGAAAGUACUUGGUACUACGAUCAUUGGAGAACAAUAUCUAAUCCCAAAGAUGCUCCAGAAUCUUUUUGAUUGCUCGUUCGAGAACUAUAUAUAUAUAUAUAUAUAUAUAUAGAGAUGUUUAGUUGAGAACAAUAUAGCAGUAUGAUGCAGCUUACUAAUAGACUAGUACACAAAAUAAUAAAACUGUGAUGUGAACUAAGAGUCCACCAAACAGUAUAGAGAACCUGAUUCUCUAUUAGUUCUCAUAGAACACACACAGCAGUAAGUAGAUAACACAACAGUAUUUUACGUGGAAAACUCCCAACUCACGGGAUUAAAAACCACGACUUACACUCGUAGGAUUUCAAUUUCACUAACCGAGCAACUUUAGAUUACAAUCUAUUGUAACCUAGGAAUUAAACUCUUAAUCCCUCACCUACUUGCAAUAACUCUAUUGCAAGCCUCUUUGUAAUAACUCUAUUACAAAGCUCACCACUUUGACUAACUCUAGUCAAACACAAACACAAACACAAAUACAAGGUUUAUGGUGUACAAAGAUAUCCUACAAGAUGCUUCUAACUAAGUUGAGUAGGAAUUACAAGUGAAUAACAUUAACAAAGAUACAACAAUACUAAGGACACACGAUGAACUCAGUGUUGGGAUCUGGUCCUUUCUUCUGUUGCUACUUUGUUCUUCAAGCCUUGGAGUAAAUGGAGGCGACUGCACACUUGAAAGAGAAUUAAUGAUUUAGGGUUUGCAAGUGUGUGUUUUCCCUUGCCUCAUGUUGGUAAUAUGUAAGUGAGGUAAUUAGGAUGAUGUAAGCAAGUAUCCGGUACACAACAUGCUCCAAAAAGUGACUGCCGCACUGUUGCGUGUGCAAUGUAACAUUGUAGCAGCUUUAACAGUUGUAAGGAGUUGACUUGUACGUGACCGGAGGAACUGAUAGCCAUCUGUUCCCUCUGCAGUUCCUUUGACUGAUAUCAUUGGAACUUGUGCUAGACACGUGACUUGUUAUUCCGAGCACUUUGAGGCUUUAUAUCAGGUUCCCUAUCGGGUUCUCAUAUGAAGUUUGUUAAACCAUCAAAACACAAAGUCACAUAACUUAUCAAUUUUUCCCAUUUUGAUGAUGACAAACUUAGAAUUGAUGGUCCCCCUUAAAACCAGAUCUCCAUAUGAUUCCCCCUGCAAAUUAGUUAUAUUCCCCAUGAAAACCUGUUUUCUCCCCUUCAAUUUUUCUUCCCCCUUUUGACAUCAUAAAAAGAAUUUAUGCAAGUAAACGCAAAAAGGAAUUCCAGUAAAGUUAGUUCAUACCACUUGUGUGCAUACAACAUAGCUAAGAACAUAGCACAAGAGUAAAACAUGCAUAUCAAAAGACUGAGAUGCUCAUUUGAUUAAUUAGAGAGAAAAACAUAGGCAGUAGUACCAUUGUUAUAAAACAUCCACACAAUAAACAAACUUAAAAGUACCACAUUCAUAAAAACAAACAGGCCAAAACAGGACACUUGGACCAGGACAGACACAGAUAAACUGGACAUUGACAAGGGGACUAUUUAAGGGGCACUGGAAGAGGGAGAGAAGGAUAAAGAGGCAAGGGCUUUGAGAAGAAUAUCAACUCGAGCAUUUGCAGACCACUGUUCAUUUAUCAGUUGCUCUUUCAGGUUCUCAACCUGUUUCCUUAGCUCUGCAUUUUCAUCCAUCAAGCGGGAAACCUCUGCACCCUGUACACUGCUAGAACCAGGUUCCUCUUUGGCUUGAUAGAACUGUCCCUCAAGAAUGGCAUUUCUAGCCUUCAGCCUCCUUAUUUUCUCGUUAGCAGCAGCCCGAGCAUCGAUCAGCCGAGAACUCAUAGAAUUGCUGCCAACUCCCCCUUCUUGUAUAUACACUCGCACUCUUUCAAGGUAGUCAUUGAGAACGUUUUCUUUCGAGUUCCCACUGCUGCUCUUCCCAAGGGAACUUUGAAAUAUUCAAACACUCUAGUGAGCAAGAACCCAUAAGGCAAGCCAUGGUUCCCAUCCUUGAAGUCUGCCACCUUUUUCAUAUGUUCAAUCAUGAAUCCAGGCAGGUUGAUAGUAGUGUAUCCAUCCAAUGCUUCCAGGAGAAAUAGGUCCGCCGUUGAAGUAAUAGAAUGUCUUUCCGCAUGAGAGAGCAUGACCUUGUUUACCAUUUCAAAUAUGAGCUGAUAUUCUAGAAGUAGGGCCUUCUUGUGCACUCGUUCCCCUCUGUGAACAGUCCGAGACUUUAGAAUGAUCUUCCUAAAGUCAGAGGAACAUGUCCCUUCAACAGAUGAGAGCCCCUCAGUGGGCACACCCAAGAUACUUCCCAGUACAGCUUCAUCCAUCACAAACUCCACUCCACUAACUUUCAGGCAGAUAUUGUCAUCUUUCACGGUGAACAGAUCAACGUAGAAGCUGCGAACUUCCUCUUCAUAGAAUUUGGGACUCUGAAUGGUAAACAGAUAAGUCCACUUCUGAAACUCACAAAUUGCAACCAGUUGUCUCAUGCAUGACAUUUCAAUAAUAUCAGCAUCAAACAUUCUGCCCCACAACACCCUUUGCUUCUUCAACUUUUCUCUUCUGUCAACUUCAUACACUUCCACUCUGGCUUUCUUAGAGGAACCAGGUUCCUCACUGUCACUUGCUUUUCUCUUCUGAGAUUUCUUCACACUCUUCUCCUUCCUCCCAAACUUACUUUUCUCACCAGAGUCCUUCUGUUCAAUACUCUUCUCUUUAUCAAUCUCAACACCUUUCACAGACGACCCUCUCUAGGACUUCACAAUCACAGACUUCUUAAAGGAUUUAUGAACAAGGGAAGCAAGUUCCUUAUUUACCUCUUCGUCCUCAAUAUCCACAAUAUUUGCCGGAGGCAGAUCCUCCUCAUUCACUAAUUUUCCCCCUUUCACCAACCUUCUUCUUUUCAUUUUCUCCUUAUUUCUUUUCAAACCACUCUCAAGGACUUCUCUCUUCUGCUGCCUAGUAGUGGGUCUUUAAGAACAGGCUCUUUGGGGACUACCCUACCACUUCUAGCAGCUAUAAACUGUGCCACAAGAAUAUCAUCAUAAUCCUCCUCACUUUCAACAUCUUCUUCUUCAGACAAGGGCUUCAUCUCAGGAAUCACAAAAUUUAAUGGAACUACAUCAUGAUGAGGGGAAGGAAGAGGGUCAGUACUAUCCAGGGGCUUUUUAGUGGAGCAUGGAGUUUCAUCCCAGGUAGGAGCAGAGUCCUCUUAUUGGGCAGAGGGAGCAGGUCCCUCUGUUGGCUCCCUUGUAGUACUAACUGGUACCAAUUCUCUUUGAGGCAUCGAUUCCCCACUUCCAUCCUCAUUACCUUUUUCCCUCCGAGUCUCAGCACUCACAUAACCAGACACAUACUCCCCAACCAAACCCCCUACAGUAGCAAUAAAAACAUGUUCUCUAUGGCUUCCUUCUCACUUACAUCCAACAAGAAUCAGUAGAAGCGAGAGAGGCGUUACCUGAUGGUGAUGCAAUAUUCAGAUCAAACAUUGGAGCAGAAGGAGUGGUAGACACACCAAAUGCUUUACUAAGACCGGCAAAAACCUCUUGGGCUACAGUUACCUCCUCAACUUUCUGGCCCGAAACCUCUUUUCCUUCUUCUCCAUCUUCUGUCAUUUUUUACGGCGUAGCAGAGGGAGAGUUUGUUGCGAUAAACUUUUUGGGUGUUUGAUUUUUCCGGCUAUGGUGGGAACCGAAACUCGAUGGAGAAGGAGAAGAGAUAGUGAGUGGAUGUUGGUCGGAGAUGGGUUUUUCACUAGGUGAAGGUGGAGACUCAAACUCGUGUUAUUGUGCUUCGUGAGAUGAAGACACAGUGGGAGUGACAAUGGUGGCUUUAGGAGACUCUGGUUUUUGGGAAGACAUGGUAAUUUUUUAAAACAAAGACACAAGAAAGAUGGUUUCUGAGAGAAGAGGAAAGUUUGAUGACUUUGAUGUCGACAAUUGUGAGCGAGACAAGUCUUUUGGGGUUAUUUAGAGGGAAGGAGGGACCGGUUACAAUUGGGUGCAACAGACUAGGUAGACGGGUCGGUUUGUAACAUGUGUAACGUUUGGGCUUAAAAAGGUAUGGGAGAAAGGGCGGGCAUAUUUUAAUAACGUGGCAAUUUUAGCAAUUUAAAAUGUGUAUGAGUGUAAGAGGAACUACUAACCUGAGUCAAGGGAACCAGGUUCCCUGACUGAUUUUUAUAAAUAUGAGCCUCAUCUUUCUACCAAAUUGCAAUAUCAUUAGCUGCUUGUUUGCCCUGUAAUUGCCAUGCGUGUUUACCUAUAACGGUAUAGAAUUGAGUUAGAAAUUAUCAGAAAAUACUUUUUAGCAAUUUACCUUCAUAUUCCUUCAUAGCCAGCCAUUGAGGGACCAGGUUCUCAGUUCAAUUUUAUUAGUGCCAACUCCAGUCGAUUCUUUUCAAAAUUCUCUCUGCUCAAUGCUUUGGUGAAGAUAUCAGCUACCUGGUCCACUGUUUUGCAAAAUUUCAUGCAGAUGAGACCCUUUUCAAUAUUGUCCCUAAGAAAAUGAUGUCGCACAUCAAUAUGCUUUGUCCUCUUAUGCUGAAUCGAGUUCUUUUCCAUGUUGAAAGCAAUUGUAUUGUCACACAGUAGUGGCACACAAUCAGAAAAGACAUCAAAAUCUUCUAGUUGUUUCUUGAUCCAUAACAAUUGGGCACAACAAGAAGCAACUGCCACAUAUUCAGCUUCUGCAGUAGAGAGAGCUACAGAGUUUUGUUUCUUUGUACCCCAUGAAAUCAAGCAUGAUCCCAGAAAAUGUGCCAUCCCAGAUGUACUCUUUCUAUCCACCAAAUAACCAGCAUCAACAUACCCAAUUAAGUCAAAAUUUUCUCCUGAGGGAUAAUAGAGGACCAGGUCCUGUGUUCCUUUGAGAUACCUCAGAAUUCUCUUAGUAGCUUUAAGAUGAGAUUCUUUUGGUCUUGAUUGUAAUCUAAGCAUAUAAUCCCACACUGAACACAAUGUCAGGUCUGAUGGCUGUGAGAUACAAGAGUGAACCAAUGAUACCACGAUACAUGGUUUCAUUCAUAGAGGAACCAUGUUCGUCCAUGUCCAGAUGAGUGGCUGUGGAAAUAAGAGUAUCAAUGGUCUUUGAGCUGUACUCAUGCCCUUCCCUGCAUAUGUUUUCGUGUGCAGAUCCAGGUGCGAGCUAUCAGCCUCGGGGUUAGUACGUGCCGCUGAUUCUAGGAGACUUCAAGGUACUUCUUCUUACGUCCGCAGAUCUUCGGAGUCCCCUUCUACUCCCUCGCCUAGAUACUUUCUUUAUUAUCCUCAAACUUUUGUAUAGAGCUACAUAGAUUAUAGCAGCUUGUGACUUAGUGAUAUUCCGGGUCUUGAAAAAUUAUUUUGUAUAUGCCGAGUGGUACUACUCUUGGCUAUUUAUAAUAUGCUGUUUAUACUUAAAAUGUUGUGUUUCCUUUAUAUUUUUCGCAAUAGUAGGCUUACCUAGUCGUAAAGACUAGGUGCCAUCACGACACCUUAUGGAGGGUUAAUUUGGGCUCAUGACACUUUGAAUGCUCUCCGUCUUGAUUAUUCUUAUCAUGUGAAUCUUUCACAGUUAAGUAGUGUGAUUCAUCAAAGAUUACAUGUACUCUUUCUUCGACACAUUGAGUUCUUUUGUUGUAGACCUUGUAUGCUUUGCUUUGUGAAGAAUAUCUAAGAAAGAUCCCUUCAUUACUUUUGGCAUCAAAUUUUUCCAGCACUUCCUUACCAUUAUUGAGAACAAAACAUUUACAACUAUAUAUUCUCAGGUAAGUCAGAUUAGUUUUUCUCCCAUUUAGCAUUUCAUAUGGGGUCUUGUUUAGGAGGGACCUGAUCAUGUACCUGUUUAUCAAAUAGCUGGCAGUGUUCCCUACCUCAACCCAAAAGAUCUUUGGUACACCACUGUCAAUUAGACUCAUCCUUGCCAUGUCUUCAAGAGUCCUAUUUUCCCUCUCCACAACACCACUUUGUUGGGGGUGCUUUAGGAGCUGAAAAAUUAUGACUAAUACCAUUUGCAUCAUAGAAUUCAUCAAAUUUUGCAUUGUCGAACUCGGUACCAUGAUCAGAUCUUAUGCUUACAACAUUAUGGCUCAUCUUCACUUGAAUCUGUUUCACAAAGGUAGCAAAUACUUGAAAAUUUUCAUUCUUGGUUCUGAGGAACAAGAUCCAAGUGAAUCUGGAGAAGUCAUCUACAAUGACAAAGAUGUACUUCUUUCCUCCUUUGCUGGGCAUUCUCAAAGUCCACACAGAUCCAUAUGGAGAAGAUCCAGUGGCCUUGAAGUGCUUACUUCCUUCUUUGGUUUGAAGAAGUACAUGAAUUGAUUUUCUUUCACACAUGCAUCACAAACUUUGUGAUCCUUGAACUUUGAUUUUGGCAACCCACGAACUAGGUCCUUCUUGACUAGUUUGUUCAACAAGGAGAAGCUUGCAUGUCCCAAUCUUCUGUGCCACAGUUCAACAUCAUCAUCAACAACACUCAUACAUGUAAGAUCUCCACUGUUUAGAGACUCAAAGUCAACAACAUAGAUGUAUUUGAAUCUUUUCGCCACCAGAACCACUACACCAGUCACAAGAUUGGUGACUGUGCAAUACUUUGAUAAGAACUCUACUUUAUUUCCUUUGUCGCAGAUUUGAGAUACACUCAGCAUGCUGUAUUUCAGGCCAUUUAGCUAAUACACAUUCUCAAUUGAGUGAAUGAGUGUCUUCCCAAUUUUUUCAACUCCCAUAAUGUAUCCCCCUUUUCCAUUUUCAAAGGACACACUCCCACUUUGCAGGGCUUUGAGUGAAAGAAAAUCAUCAGUAAUUCUAGUCAUAUGUUUAGAGAAGUCGCUAUUCAUAUACCAUCUUUGGCUAUUUCCUUUCACUGCUCCCUGCACAAGGAAAUCAGAGAUUAGACUUAGGAACCCAAACAAGUUUGGGCCCUUGUAGUAAGGAAAAAGGUGAAUUAAAUUUCUUCUUGUCCAAGCAGGCAUCACACAUUUUAUAUUGUAGGGACCAAGUUCCCUAAAAGUAGAUACUUUUUCAAUAAAAACUUUAUUUUUCUGUUGGGACUGAAAUCUAGCUUUACAGGAAUCUAUGAAAUGAACAGUGUUACCACAAUGAGUGCAAAGCCAGUUAGUUAUCAGGGACAGUGACAUACUUGCUAUGUGGGUUGUAAGGAGCCUUUUCCUUUUGGAACCCAAUUCCCUGCAUGUUCCCCCAUUACUUUUAUACAUAAAAAUGAUUGUAUUAGAAGACCAGGUCCACUUUAGAGAUUUAUCUAGGUUAUUUUUAACCCUACUUAGAUCUUCCUAAAGUUGUCUAUUUCUUUCAAGUUCAGCACACAGACUCAAUUUUACCAUUUUGAGUUUAUUUUCAAGUUUAAGGUGUGCCUCACUCGCCACUUCCUUACAUUUUGAAGGGUUCAUGCGGUUUUCUAUUGAAGCUUUCACAGAAAUAUUUUCCCUUUUUAAUUCCUCUAUUGUUUCCUUUAGAUCCACAACUACUACCAACAAGUCAUCUCUCUCAAGCUCUACCUUUUUAAUUUUCUUAGUUAGAACAUCCUUUUCAUUCUUUAAAUCCUCAAUGGUUUCUUUUAAAUCAACAACUAUGACUAGUAAAUCAUCUCUCUCAUGCUCUACCUCCCUUAAUUCCAUAGUUAAAAUAUUUUUAGCAUUGAUAAGGUAUGGUUAGCAUCAAUCAGGACAUUUGCUAAAGAUACAAGUGUCUUUUGAGAGUAAGACUUCAAAUUUCUUUGAACGUCUUGAAAGUUUACCUCAUCGUCAUCAUCAUCUUCAUCCUCAUCAGAUUUUUCUAUCAGGGAAAAGAUGGAGUCAUAUUCAGCUGCUUCGCUUUUAACGGCCAUCAUGGAGGUGUCACAUUGUUCAUCAUCUCCCUCAGAUUCACUAGAGGAAUCUUCCCAUACAGCAAGAGCUUGUUGUCAGCGACAUCUCUUAUCUUGAACUUCGUGUCAGGAACCUAGUUCCUCUUGGUUGUCUUGUCUGUAUGCUUGUAUUGGUCUUGCUUGUGGAGAGGACGAUCUUUGAUGAAAUGUCCUGGCUUCCCUCAUUUGUGACAACUAUCAUAGCCUUUUGGUCUGCUAGAGCUGUCUUUUUUCGGAAUACCUCCAUUUCUGCGAACCAUUUUCUGAAACCUCCUUGUCAAAUAGGCCAUGUCAGCAUUAUCACCACUUGAGUCACUGCUGUCUGCUUUGAGAACCAGGUUCUUCUCCCUUUUGGGUUCUUUUCUUUCAUGGUCCUUCUUCUUCUUCUUCUUCUUCUUCUUCUUCUUCUUCUUCUUCUUCUUCUUCUUCUUCUUCUUCUUCUUCUUCUUCUUCUUCUNNNNNNNNNNNNNNNNNNNNNNNNNNNNNNNNNNNNNNNNNNNNNNNNNNNNNNNNNNNNNNNNNNNNNNNNNNNNNNNNNNNNNNNNNNNNNNNNNNNNNNNNNNNNNNNNNNNNNNNNNNNNNNNNNNNNNNNNNNNNNNNNNNNNNNNNNNNNNNNNNNNNNNNNNNNNNNNNNNNNNNNNNNNNNNNNNNNNNNNNNNNNNNNNNNNNNNNNNNNNNNNNNNNNNNNNNNNNNNNNNNNNNNNNNNNNNNNNNNNNNNNNNNNNNNNNNNNNNNNNNNNNNNNNNNNNNNNNNNNNNNNNNNNNNNNNNNNNNNNNNNNNNNNNNNNNNNNNNNNNNNNNNNNNNNNNNNNNNNNNNNNNNNNNNNNNNNNNNNNNNNNNNNNNNNNNNNNNNNNNNNNNNNNNNNNNNNNNNNNNNNNNNNNNNNNNNNNNNNNNNNNNNNNNNNNNNNNNNNNNNNNNNNNNNNNNNNNNNNNNNNNNNNNNNNNNNNNNNNNNNNNNNNNNNNNNNNNNNNNNNNNNNNNNNNNNNNNNNNNNNNNNNNNNNNNNNNNNNNNNNNNNNNNNNNNNNNNNNNNNNNNNNNNNNNNNNNNNNNNNNNNNNNNNNNNNNNNNNNNNNNNNNNNNNNNNNNNNNNNNNNNNNNNNNNNNNNNNNNNNNNNNNNNNNNNNNNNNNNNNNNNNNNNNNNNNNNNNNNNNNNNNNNNNNNNNNNNNNNNNNNNNNNNNNNNNNNNNNNNNNNNNNNNNNNNNNNNNNNNNNNNNNNNNNNNNNNNNNNNNNNNNNNNNNNNNNNNNNNNNNNNNNNNNNNNNNNNNNNNNNNNNNNNNNNNNNNNNNNNNNNNNNNNNNNNNNNNNNNNNNNNNNNNNNNNNNNNNNNNNNNNNNNNNNNNNNNNNNNNNNNNNNNNNNNNNNNNNNNNNNNNNNNNNNNNNNNNNNNNNNNNNNNNNNNNNNNNNNNNNNNNNNNNNNNNNNNNNNNNNNNNNNNNNNNNNNNNNNNNNNNNNNNNNNNNNNNNNNNNNNNNNNNNNNNNNNNNNNNNNNNNNNNNNNNNNNNNNNNNNNNNNNNNNNNNNNNNNNNNNNNNNNNNNNNNNNNNNNNNNNNNNNNNNNNNNNNNNNNNNNNNNNNNNNNNNNNNNNNNNNNNNNNNNNNNNNNNNNNNNNNNNNNNNNNNNNNNNNNNNNNNNNNNNNNNNNNNNNNNNNNNNNNNNNNNNNNNNNNNNNNNNNNNNNNNNNNNNNNNNNNNNNNNNNNNNNNNNNNNNNNNNNNNNNNNNNNNNNNNNNNNNNNNNNNNNNNNNNNNNNNNNNNNNNNNNNNNNNNNNNNNNNNNNNNNNNNNNNNNNNNNNNCUUCUUCUUCUUCUUCUCGUAGGUCUUCAGAUUUCCAAUGAGUUCGUCUAUCAUCAGCUUUUGCAGAACUUUUGCCUCCGUAAUAGCAUUGACUUUACUCUCCCAAGAAUCAGAUAACAUACUGAGUAUUUUCCUGACCACUUUGUUCCUUGGAAUGAUCUCUCCUAGAGAAUGGAGCUCAUUGAUGAUGGAAGUAAAGCGAGUAUACAUGUCCUGAAUGGACUCAUCAACCUUCAUCUUGAAGAGUUCAUACUCAGUUGUGAGCAUAUCGAUCUUUGACUGCUUGACUUGAGUUGUUCCUUCAUGUGCGGUUUGGAGAGCCUCCCAGAUCUCCUUGGCAGAUUGACAAGCUGAGAUUUUGUUGUACUCGUCUAGUCCAAUACCACAGAUGAGGAUCUUCUUUACUCGGAAGUUUUGCUCUAUAGCUUUGCGGUCGGCAUCAUUGUACUCCUUCUGUCAUGCCCCGACCUUGGGGAGCACGACCGGCACCCAACCAAGAUACCCCGGUCAAGCAAGCAUUUACAAGGCUUCUUCCCAACUCACCCAUGGAUAAAGAGAAGAUACAUUUAUAUCAUUAAUUAAACAGUAAGUGGAUUCCAUGAACAAUGCCAAUUCUAUUACCAUUAGUCGAUUCAUUUUAUAGUCUCAAAAUACAUACACAAUCAUAGUUAAAGUGCACAAGUGAUUCAACUACAACAAGGUUAGUUUUACUUUUCCAACACCCAUAUACAACCCACACUGUGUCUACGGAUAUAAAAUACUAUGAUUACAUCGACAACAAAGCCUCGGCUAUAGAUCAAAAUAUAAUACACGUGGGACAAAAGAUACACGACCCCGAAUGAAGUGGGGCUCACCAAAUCUGCAGAGAAGAGGGUGUACUGCUAUCAAUAAUCAGUGCCACCUGCUGCGGAACCACCUGUAUCCAUUAAAGAUGCAGCGCCCUCGACAAAAAGGAUGUUAGUACAUAUAGAAUAGUACUAGUAUGAAUGACUAAACACCCUCUUAAUAGAGCGAAUGAUAACAUAAGUAAGGACAAUCAUAAAAUCAAUGGGAGCCUCAAACAAUACCAAAAUAUCAAAUUAGGAGCAAGACAAGUUUUCAAGUAAAUUUCCACAUUUUAAGUCUAGGAGAUCUUAGCACCGAUAUACCACCGUGAUCUUGAGCACGGAGUCCGAUCACGGCCCGAUCGGCUAGGCCGUCUCACCCAAAGACAUCAACCACAAUCACAAUCAUUAUCUCAGUCUCAAUCAUUGUUUUAAUCGUAAUCUCAAGCAUAAUCACCACCAUGUGUGUAGCAUGGCGUACGAUCACGACCCGACCGGCUAGGCCGUCUCACCACAAUACCAUGUGGAUCGACAUCACCAUUUUUUAAUAAUCAUCUCAUCCCAAUAAAGGAGAAUAUUUUCAUCACAUCAAUCUCAUCCCCAUAAAGGGUUACAAUCACACUUCGCUCCUACACCGGCACGUGUAAGUUCGGGGUUAGGUUUUUUCAACUUACCCUUCCUCGGUGACUAACGACACUCCCGGGGUGUUUAUUUGUUUAAAGGAUUGACGACUCAUUUCAUUAUCUUUUAUAUAUCAUUCAUUUCAUUGGCACCAAUGGCCACAACACAAUGUCACUCUUGGCACGUUGGCCGUAUUUUAUACUUCAUAUUCAUCUCUUUCACUUUCAAACAUUAUCACGGAUCAUCAACAACAGAGGAUUUCUAUUCAAGACUUUAAGUCCACAUAUUGAGCAAAUAAGAAUGUUAAGCACAUUCAGAUUUCUUACACAAUUUGGCAUAAUAGCCUCCAUUUGAAUCACGGCUUAAAGAUAUAACAUUUGGACAUGGAACCCAGACUUCGAGCAUAUUUUCAAAUAGAAUAUAACAUAACAAGAACAUUGGAAUACAUAUUGAACAUAUAUCUAUCAACAAAAGGCUUAUUCGGAAUAAUCAAUUCAUAAUGAACAACUCGGGACUUAUAAGGAUAUUGUGGGGUUCAAUUCUAAGAGAUGAGUUUAGCCAACAUACCUCACCUUGAGCUAUUUAAAUUAAUACAAUAUUCCGGAAUUCUUAGCCUCUUCGAUCUAUUUAGAAAUAUAGCAUAAUUGAACACAAAUUAAGAGAGAGUUUAUGGUUCCAGCUCAUUUGAGCAUUUUAUCAAACACUAGGUGGGUAUUAUGAUUUCAAGGUCCUCCUAUGGUGGAUUUCUCCAUCCUACUACCCAAAGUCUACCCAAUUUAGCUCAACAUUCUUCCCCCAACCCUUGAUAGUACAUGCAUGCAUAAUGGACAACUCCCGCAUCCAAGAAUUGCUAUUCUCAUUACCUAUUUUCAGUAAAUCACGAAAUUGAGGGAUAGAGAGUAGAAUCUUACCUUUAGGAUGAAGACCUAGUGAACUUUCUUGUGAAUUCUUCAACUUGGAGCAAGAGUUAAUGAUCAAUAAGCUUAGGAACUUCCCCUCUCACUCUAUGGUAAUCCCUAUCUCUAGAAAUAUCAGAUUUUUGCUUCAAAAGUGACUCUUUGCUUCAAUAUAUCGAAAUAGGGUCGGGUCAAAAAUUAGAAAAAAUGAGCCCCGAUGCAGAUCCGCGGUCGCAUAUGCGACCGCAUAACGCUUUUGCGGUGUGCAAAAUGGACAACAUAAUGGCCCUCCGAAAUUGGGCACUCCUGCCUCACUCUGCGACCGGUCUACGGUCCGUAGACCUAUUCUGCGGUCGCAUAAUGCACCGCAGAACUGCCCUUAGGAAUUGUUUGUGAUGGGUCUAUGAGGGGUUAUGCGGUCCACAAAAUGAUUAUGCGACCGCAUAAUGGACCGCAUAAUGGUCCAAAAAUUUUGCCCAAAUUUCUGCUUCAGUCUGCGACAGAUCUGCGUUCCGCAGAUCAGUUCUGUGACCGCAGAAAUGCCCUGUACUUCCAAAUUAUUUUUCUUCAACUCCCCAACGCAUCGUUCAACUCAAAAAGUCCGAACCGCGGACAAUCAUCAACAUAUAAGUCCACUUCGGCACCACGAAACCCCGAAUUUUAGGUAAAGUUUUACGGUGCCUUACACUCUCCCCCACUUAAGAUCAUUCGUCCUCGAAUGAGGGCCAAAAUCCGCCAUUAGAAACCAAUGUGACUCAGCUGCUAUAUCAUACACUAACAGUUCUAAGCUUUUGACCGACUCCCCUAAUUUGCAAAAUUUUCGCCAGAGUUUCCACUGCCGCACUGUUGCGUGCGCAAUGUAACAGUGUAGCAACUUUAACAGUUGUAAGGAGUUGACUUGUACUGUGACCGGACGAACUGAUAGCCAUUUGUUCCCUCUGCAGUUCCUUUGACCGAUAACAUUGAAACUUGUGCUAGACAUGUGACUUGUUAUUUCGAUCACUUUGAGACUUUGUAUUAGAUUUCCUAUCUGGUUCUCAUAUAAGUUUAUUAAAUCAUUAAAAUACAAAGACAGAUAACUUAUCAAACGGGAUGAUGACUUUUGUCUUUUUGGCUCCUUGUACUGCCUCCUUUUCCAGUGGCAGUGCAGAUUUUCAGUAGCCUUCAGCUCAAACAUUAGAUCACUACGGGGUUUUUAGUGUCUAUCUUUUGAUUUGCAUGGUCCACUCUUUGUGCUUUUUCUUCCUAUCUUUUCAAAUUCUUAGUUGGAUGGAUGGUGAUUUGAAGAGAUGAAAAAGGAAAGAAAUCAAUAGCACAGUGAGCAGACUUCAAUUUACGAGGAAAACAACUGGAUUGUAGCUGGCACUUCUCCAACUUGUCUCCCUUUUCAGAUUUUAGAGUACAUUUUCAAGUAAAUUAACAUCUUUUUAGAAACUAGACCACAAUGUUGCGCUAUAGUGAGAAAAAAAAUCACAGCUAUUGGUGCACAAAACGUCCCGUAUUCAUACAAGAUCCGAGAAAGGAUCGUACCCCCCAAAGAAUAUGAUAUAGAUAGUCUACCCCGACGUAAGUAUUAGUAACUGCUUUCACGAUUAUACUGAAACAAUAAUGAAAUAGCUUUGCACAUUGGGAGCAUCACAUUAUUUCCUAGAGCGUGUUUGGUUUACCUCAUUAUCAAAAUUAAUCUCAACAUAAAUUCUACUUAAAUAAUAGAAUUUUUAAUUAUUUAUACAAGAAAAAAAUAAUCUGUGAUAACCAACGUUUGAUUGCGUUUAGUAAACGCUGUAUUGCUAAUACAGUCACAAGAUAUGCAGAAAUAUCAUAUUUUGUUAGGUGAAAUAGAAUGUACAAAAUAGAAUAAUCUUUAAAGUAAAUAAUUCCUACAUGGUUACGCAUAUCAGUUCCUCUUAUAUUAGUCAUCGCAUAAAUAACUACUCGUCAACCAAAUAGAACUAAGCGUCUCCUGCUAAAAUAUGUUACAGACUUUCAUAUUCCCUUCUGUUCAAAUUAAAAAUAAACAGCAAAUAUUCCCAAAUGCAGCCCACCAAAAAAUGUAGUGAUGGACACUUAGUAAAGUUUCUAAUACACCAGCUGUACAUUGAAUCUUUGCUAGGCAUGGCAUAUCAUCAACAAUUUGUUGUCUAUUGUCUUUUAAAUUCUGCCUCAAUCCUGUUCUCAGGACCAUACUUCAAGUUUCGAGCCUACUGAAACUUCCAAAAUUGGCCAAACACAGAAGCAAUAGUAUAGUUACAAAUUAAAGGCAGAAUACUAUUCUCCACUUUAUUCUUAAGAACCGGAAGAGACAAGGUUUAUCGUAGGCUUACAUUCAAAUGUUUAAAACAGUUUAAUUAUGAAAAGACUUCUUAACGUAAAUCACGUUUUGUAAAUAAAAUGAAUAAGAGGAAUCAUAUAUUAAUCGACUCCAAUAAAUUUCUAAUUUUCUAUUCAAUAAUUCGAAGUUCGAAUUCUCAUGGUCACACUCCUACUCUUUUAACACCAAAAGUUUGUCGGAAAGCUUAGCUUUGAACUCACAUAAUUAGAGUAGCAUUUCCUACAUGUAAAGUUGUAUGUGCUAAUUAAGAGACAAUUAAUGCUAUAUGUUUAGCACUCUGGUAAGUUUUUUGAUCAAGUUAAUAGAUACAACACUCCUUAUAACAAAUUUCUAUAAGUAUAGAGUAUAAGUAGAUUUAAUUAAUACCAUCACCAUGACUUCAUGAUAUAAUCAAUUGUAAUAAGUAAUAAAUUAGUACUUACUAUAAACCCUAUAAAUGAACAACUUUUGGUGGGAGCUUGCUACCGCUCCCUGUGGGUCUAGCCAAUCGAGUUAAUCGAGCUAGUAAAUUUUGAAUAUGGUGGGUUCAGAGGCGGAGCCAGAAUUUUAAGCUUAUGAGUUUGAAAUUUUAAUCGUUUACUAAGUUUUAAAUUAAUAAUUUUUAUACCUUCAAUAAAUUUUUAAAGAUAAAUAUAGAGCUCGAACCAAAACUAUUGGAUUCGUCCGAACCCGCUACCAGCAAUCUAACUCCGCUCAUGAGUGGGUCAAAAUAUAGUAAAGUGAAUAACAAUAAAAGAAAAAAAAAAAAAAGUAGGGAAGACGAGGAUUGACUGUUCCACUUUGAGGAUCCAUGUUGGGUGCAUGAAUAAGCUGUUAUAUUUCAAAGUAAAACUUGGGGCAAUUACAUCACGAGAUUCCUAUAAAAUGCAGGCACUGAUUUUCUUACACCCAAAAAAGAAGUCCCAAAUUAAAGUAGUCACAUACCAAACUACAAAGAAACUUAGGCAAAGACCAAGGAAACAUUCUGUCUCAUUCAAAAAACUCAACAAAAAUGACUUCAAGAUUGCUUCUACUUUUCCCCUUCUUCCUCUUCUGCCUACUUACUCAUGUAAAGUUUAAACUAUUCACCUAACUCCCAUAUGAUUUAGUGUUCUUUUUGUGGAACUAGUCUAAUGUUCUUUUCUGUCCAGGUCUCUUCUGAUAUUGAUAUUGAAGAAAACGAAACUCAGGUAUUUCUUUACUCUUUUUCCAUCACUAAACCAAAAAUUGAUACUUCAACUAAACAGCAUAAUUUUUUGUCCUAAAAAUAUGAAAAGUCAUUCAAGAUAAGUUGUGGGUCGUGGUUAAAUUGAUUUAUAAUUCACCGAACUUUCCAAAAAGAGUGAACUGUGUUAGAGUGUUCCAUAUUGGUUGAAAAAAUGACCAGCAUUAUUUUUUGAGGUUGAUUAUCAAAGCUUGGCCCAUCUGUCUUUUUGAUUUACUAAUGUAAGCCCCUCAUUUUACAUUAUUCACGCUUCAAAUGUUUAGGAUGUCUACGUUAAUUUGUGGACAUGGUUGUUAUUUCAUUAUAUAAUUUUUGGAAAACCCUCUCUAACCAGCUUCUAAAAUACUUACAUCAUGAGCUACAGUUUGGCCAAAAGUUAUUUUCUUAACUACAAAGUGGAUGGACUUUAACUAUGAAUAAUUUUUCUCUUACCUUGUUGUUUGACAUUGUAUGUGCAAAUCUUUAUUAGGUGGUGAAAGGAGCUAACAGGAGGCUUUUACUGUAUGUAGGUAAGCAUCAAUUUUCUCAAUCUGUUUCAAUUUAAAAGGAAUAGAACAAGAAGAAAAACUUGAGUUUUGAUAGCUCUUUUUUGUUGGGAAUAGAUUGUGGAGGACUGUGCAAAGUGUGAUGUAGCUCACACUCAAGGCCAAAUGUAUGCACCAGAGCCUGUGGGACUUGUUGUGUAAGGUGCAAAUGUGUUCCUCCUGGCACUUCUGGUAAUAGACAAGUGUGCGGCAAAUGCUAUACAGACAUGACUACUCAUGGCAACAGGACCAAAUGCCCUUAAUUAAACGGUGAAAAUUCAUAUAAUCGACCCCAACUUUGUUUGCGACUACGGCAUAGUCGCCACCCAUGUAGGACUUAAUUAGUACUCAAUCUUGUUUUUUCUAUUUUCCAAGUUUGUUUUACUACCGCCCAAAGUGAGAAUAUGUGUUUUGAUCUUUCUGAUGUAAAAAGUUAAUCCUGUGCGGGUCCUCGCAUAACUUUAAUGUCAAAGUUUCAGUUUCAUGACUGACUAAUGACUAAUAGUUCUUGAAUUACAGUAAAGUAAUGCUCUUAAAUUACAUCAUACAAGACCGAUUCUACUGGCUAUCCAGUAUUCGGCGAACUUGAAAGGUUAUCAGUAUAAAGAAAACACAAGUUUUGGUUGAUUGGGUGCGUCGAUACAUAUGCUAUGCUGAUAGGACAUACUAGCAUGUAUCCGAAUAGUAGUGAACAAACAUAUUAGAGGAAUUUUCAUAAAUGAUUAUUGUUUAGUGGAUAUUAACUAAUAUAUUAGAGGAAUUUUCAUAAAUAACUAUUGUUUAGUGGCUAUUAACUUCCUAUAGCUACCAUAUACUUAAUUACAUCCUAUAGUUGUCUUUUCAGUUGUUAUGGCCAAGUAUUUAAUGUAUUCAAUCUAUUGUAUUCAUGAAUACAGUAGGAAAACUUGGCUAAAAAACAGGAAAACAUAGUUGUACGUUUAUGUAUUCAGGUGUAUUUACACUAUGUAUUUACGAAUACCGUAACAGAAAUCAACGUAAAAAUAGGUCCCUCCAGCUAUUUAAAAACGGAAAGUGGAUAAAUUAACGUGACAUACUCCUAAUAUAACUCAACAAACACCAUUAAAAUACACAACAUUAGCAAUCCAAUUUAUGAGAAGAUUCUGCAAACGUCAAACACAAAAAAUA
RNAcentral lists this long non-coding RNA (75555 nucleotides) under Nicotiana tabacum (common tobacco). RNAcentral's name for it is "long non-coding RNA (NTAB_LNC009111)". Lineage: Eukaryota; Viridiplantae; Streptophyta; Magnoliopsida; Solanales; Solanaceae. The record is from RNAcentral.